GGUUUGAUAGCUACGAUUAAACUUAGGGUUACAGAGAACAUGAACAUGAUUCUCACAGCUCCGUAUACGCAAGAGGAAGUAAAGAAAGCACUUUGGCAGAUUGGUGACAUGAAGGCGCCCGGCCCUGAUGGCCUUCACGCUAUCUUUUUCAAGAGGUUUUGACACAUUCUUGGUGAGGAGCUUACCAAAGAAGUGCUUGAAGCAAUUAAUAAUAAAAAGAUCCCUAAAGGAUGGAACUCAAUGAAUGUUGUGCUAAUCCCAAAGGUAGAUAGCCCGGAGGUUAUCACUUAGUAUAGGCCCAUAAGUUUAUGCAAUGUGGUCUACAAAAUAAUUUCCAAGAUGUUAGCAAACAGACUCAAGAAAAUUCUGCCUGGGGUGAUCUCUCCUACUCAGAGCGCCUUUGUUCCGGGCACGCUGAUUACAGAUAACAUUCUGGUAGCAUAUGGGAGCUUUCAUGCAAUAAAAAAGAAGACCCAUGGAGCCAAUGGUAUAUGUGUUGUUAAACUAGAUAUGCUCAAGGCAUACGAUAGAGUUGAAUGUUUUUUUGCACCAAAUGAUGCUGAAGUUGGUCUUCAACCCACAAUGGGUGGAAUUGAUUAUGGAGUGUGUCUCCUCUAUGAGCUACAAAACUAGACUCAAUAACACGGAGAGGGACGAGUUCGUUCCCAUGAUGGGGCUGAGACAAGGAGACCCGCUAUCAGCAUAUCUAUUUGUGCUAUGUUCGGAGGGAUUAUUUAGUAUGUUGGCCCACGAGGAGGAGAUUGGAGGAAUUGAAGGCAUCCGAGUAAGCAGAUCAGCCCCCUCUAUCUCCCACUUAUUGUUCGCUGAUGAUUUCCUUAUUCUAAUGAGAGCUAAUAAUCAUAAUGCUACUACUCCGAUGAGAGUCUUAGAUACUUACUGUACCGGUUCUGGUCAGCGAGUUAGUACUACAAAAUAGAGCAUUUUCUUCAGCCCCAACAUGGGAGUUUUGAUUAGGGAGGCAGUCUGUGGCACACUAGACAUAUUAACAGAAGCUCUCUCUCAUAAAUACUUGGGCCUCCCUACUAUUGUGGGUGUGGACAGAAGCGAUUGUUUCCAACACCUUAUUAACAGAGUUUAUCAACGGUUGAGGGGCUGGAAGGAAAAAAUCCUCUCAAUGCAAGGUAAAGAAAUAUUAUUAAAGUCUGUAGCGCAAGCUAUCCCAUCUUAUGCAAUGUUGGUGUUCAAAUUGCCAAAAGGUAUUUGCAAGUCAAUAACAGAUGAAAUCUCUGGUUUUUUGUGGGGAGAUGGGAAAGAGAAAAAGAAGACGCACUGACUUGCGUGGUGGAAGAUGUACGUUCCAAAGGAGAAGGGUGGCAUGGGGUUGAGGGACCUUCACACCUUUAAUCUUGCUAUGUUAGCAAAGCAAUGCUGGAGACUACUCUAAACUCCCGACUCGUUAUGUGCACGUGUUCUUAGUGCUAAAUACUAUCCUGAUGGAGAUAUUUUAAAAGCUGGUACAAAGAAAGGAUCCUCCUUUACAUGGCAAAGUAUCAUUGCUGGAAUUCAAAAUUUUAAGAGGGGUUGCAUUUGGAGAGUGGGCACAGGGUCACGAAUUAAUCUUUGGGACGACCCAUGGAUCCUCUCUAGUGAAACGAGGAGAUCAAUCACCCCUAGAUGUGGGAUUAUACUUAAUAAGAUGGAAGAUAUUAUUGACCCUUAUACUGGUCAGUGGGAUGAGGCUCUAAUUCACAGUGUUCUUUCUCCUGUAGAUGCUUUCAAAAUUAUGCAAAUCCCCCUCCAUGUCGAAGCAUUAGAAGAUUUUAUGGCCUCACAAUUCACUCGCUCAGGAACCUUCUUCGUUCGAUCGGCUUACCACGUAGAGUUUAACCACCAGUUUGGUCACCACUUCUACAGGGCAGAUAAUCUGUAAAGGUCACAUAUUAACCCGAUCCGGAAGGAGCUUUGGCAACUUAGAAUCCCGAGGAAAGUCAAACAUUUUGGAUGGAAAGUAUUGAAGGGUGUGUUACCGUGUCUUGGGGUGCUAGCUGGCACGCAUAUUCCACUAGUACCUCAGUGCCCAUUGUGUAAGAUCGGACUCAAAGAUAUUCAGCACUACAUCUUCACAUGCGAGCAUGCAUCCGAGGUAUGGUCUGAACUGAAGAUGUCUAAUAUAAUCAAAGAGGCUGUGGCACAAGAUCGAGCGGGCUCGAUCACAUUGGAGAUCCUACUACAGGACAAAUCGGUGGUACAUGAAAUACCAGCGGCUGAAUUAAUAGUGAUUCAAUGUGGUACAUUUGGUGGCAAAGGAGGCAUGGAGUUAAAGGAGAAGCAAUAUAGACACCCCAAUGAACAACGAUGUCCAUUAGAGUGUUGAUUACUAACUUUAUCCGCGGCUGUUUGCCAAACCAUCCUACGAGGAAGAAGGAUCAUACUUGGCAGAAAUCGGACACAUGAACAAUCAAGAUCAACGGUGACGCCGAGAUCAUAUGGGUAACUUCAUUGCUGCAGCAACCUGGGUGUUAUCGCAUGUGUCCUCGUCUGACUCGACCAAGAUCAGUGCUGUCCAUCGCGGGGUUCUACUUGCAUCUAAUAUUAGCUGCACUAAGGUUACCUUCGAGAGUGAUAGUAUGAAUGUUCUCGCGGCAAUGGAAAGCCCGGAGGUAUAUAUGGGACCUGAUGUUAAUACUAUCACCGAGGCCACUAUUUUAUCUUUAGAAUUUUCAGAGAUUUCCUUCAUACACUGUAAUAGAGAUGCAAACCCAGUUGCAGAUAACAUAGCUAAUCGUGUUGUAGUAUUCAUUUAUCAGUCUUAGGAAGGAGAUUCCCAUGAUUUCAUUCUUCCUCACACCGUAAACGAUAUGGCUAUUAUUUGAGAAAUAAAGUUUGAAUCGUUCAGAAAAAAAUGUAGUGCGUGCAUUUUAGAAAUGACUAUUCCUGCAUACUGUUCUUUUAUACUACCUCCGUCCAAGUGUAUAGAGCAUGCGUGUAGUUCUAGGUUGUUAAUUUAACUAGCUAAAUAUAUAUUAUAUGUAAUAAAUAAUAUAUCAUUAGAUUCAUAUGAGAAUGUAGUUUUUGAAUAUGUUAUUUUUAUCACAUAUAAUAUAUAUUUUGCUGGUUAAAUUGACAACCUAAAACUACGCGCAUGCCCUAUACACUUGGACGGAGGUAGUAAGAAAAAUAUUAUAUAUUGAAAGCCUGUGGUCGACUCUGCUAGAGUUGCUCCGAACUCGAGUCCAUUAACCAUCCGGCAGGGACAGGCCGAGCUCGAAACCCUCUUCCGCCGCCCUGCCUAAACCCCACCGCCGAAAUGCUCCUUCGCCCGCUCCUUCGCCGCGGCGCCGCCGCGGUUUCGGCCGGCGGCCUCCGCGCUCCCGCCGUGCGCCCAGACCCGCCAGCUUGCUUAGCUUCCCUCCUCCUGGCCUCCCGCUCCUACGCGAAGGCCAAGGGUGGGGGCAAGCCGGCGGCGUCCACUAGUAACCGUGGCAAGGUUCGUGUCAAGGAUCCCAAAGGCGUGGCGUCUGAGGACGCCUCCGCUUCAGGGGAAUCCGCCGCAUCCGCUGGCGGGGCAGAUGAGAUCGACGCCGAGUUCGAGAUGCCCACUGACCCGCUGCCCCCGACCUACGACCCGGCGCUUGACGUCGGGCCCGGCGGUCGGCCGCUCUUCGCCUUUACCGACACCUUUGCGUCCUUCUCCCACCGCGGCGCCAAUGCCUACGUCGAUUUCUCGUACGCACCCAUCCUCUUCCCUUGUACACUGUCGUCUCGAUUGGAUCCAAAAUGCGGUGAUGCGCGUGGUUACGUUUAGAUGUAUUCGUAUUGUUUGUCAAAGUUCGGUUCUCGGUUCUCAUUCUCGUGGCAAAAUUGAUGCUAAUUACACCAAAUAAAAUGAAGUUCAAUAGAUGCCAUGUGUAAGGCUGUAUGCAAUGCAUUUUUUUUUCUAUUUGUUUUGCUUCAUCUCUGAUCUCAUAGUGAAGUGUGUAUGCGUCCUGUUGCCAUUUACACUUUCCCUUGGUUUAGUAAUGUUUGAAGGUUGGUGCCAUGGUCGCAAACUUAGCAGACUCAUUCCACGUGAUGAUUUCCGCAAUUGAACUAUGUUGCUGAUCGUCUAAACAUGUGUAUCUAUUUAAUGAUAUAGUUCUUUGUAUCAACUUCAGUAAUGUUAGUCUUCUUUUGCAUCGUAUUUUCCUUGUAAUAAUGUAUUACACCUGUUGCACUGUUUUACUUUAUUCGAUGCAAGCGAUCGUUUACUAUCACGCCUGCAAUCAAAGGUCAAUUAUUGGACAUGUAGGAUCUGAGUUGGUAAUUGUGAUUAUGAUUGUGUCCUCUGGUGUUAGUCGAGAACCCUUUUUGGGAUAUUAAGUAUUUCAUUUCUGUCCAUUGUUUCAGUUUGGAUGAAUGGAAAGCCAUGUUACCAGAGGGAUUGCCAACAGGGAUGAUGAAGGAGUUUCAAGACACGAGGCGUUGCGCUGUGAUGGUGAGGGAAAGCUUCCUAGACCUGCGGGAUAACUUCCGGAGAAUUGUUGAUCCAGCCAUUACAGCCAAGCGCAAAGGUGUGUUUGUACUUCUGUGAUGUCAUGUUACAGUGGCAUAUGCAAUACUUAUAGUUUGCCUUGUCAAGUCUUAAUAUUUCUUAGAUGAACAUGGUAGUAUCUAUUGGUUAUUUGCAUCCUACCGUAAUAUUGUCAUUGAUUGCGCCAUCACACCAUUCAUUUGUGUUGCCUUAGUUAAUUCAUUCGUGUUUCCUUAGUGAAUCGGCAUACCCCAAAUUGCCAGUGAUUCGUUGAUGAUUUUCGUGUAAGGUAACUCGAAACUAAAAUAUAUUUUAUUAUGAACUUCGAACGUUGAUUUUGAUUCAGCGUUAUAACUUUCAUAGCUAUAAUAUCAAGAAGCAAAAAAGCAAUUGAGAUCAAAUUACUUAUCUGUAGAGUUCUUUUUUUCCAUCAAGACCGUUCACAAAAGGUUUUUAAUUUCAUUCUUUGAUGUUUUUUUUUUCAAAAAGCUCUGGUUUGAUAGUGGUGCACACGGCAGAGCUUGGAAUAUGCGUUCAUGAUUGAUGGCGCCAUUUCAAAGUUGGAUCAAUUACUUUCUAUUACACCGUAUAGCUUUGUAGCCUGUGACACUCUUGCAAAAAAAAGCCUGUGGCACUCUGCUUUCUAAUAUCUGUAGGCAUGAAAAAAGUAAAUCCAUAUGUUGCUAGGGUAAAUUUUGUUUGGUUUGCAUCAGAAUAAAAACUAUCUCCCCGGAACCCACGGGCCAUGGUGUAGAUUCUUUUCUACCGACUGCACAUUAUCAUUAUCAAUACAUCCAAUUUUAAAUAAUCGUGUAGGAACAUGUUCCCUCUAACUUUAUACCUUGGAUUUAUUAGGUUAUGAACUGGCCCUAAGCAUCUUCUUUUUGUAUCUGUCCUCAGACACCAAAAGACAAAUUAUCUUGGAUGGCCCUCGGAGUUGUGGUAAAAGCAUUGCACUUGCGAUGCUUGUGCACUGGGCCCGUACUGAGGGAUGGCUGGUGUUCUAUGUUCCCCAAGGGAGGGAUUGGACUCAUGGAGGAUUUUUCUAUAGAAAUACCUACAGUGAUUUUUUUGAUACUCCUGUACAGGCUGGAAAGGUUUUGCAGGUGCUAAUAUCUACAUGAUGUCUGUAUUCUGCUUUUUCCUCAGUAUUUACAAAAUUGCUUUAUUGCAAUAUCAUUAUGUUCUGUUGCACCUUCUCUUGUUAUUUCAUCCUUUCUGUCUCAGCGCCCCAAUUUUUUUGCUAGCUUAAAGCUGGUUCACCAUUCAUAAUGUAUUAAUCACCUAAUGCAGCAAAAGUGAUAUAACACAUUACAUUGUUCGGUGGUCAGGGCUUAUUCAUGAACAUCUAAACAUUUAUUAUCCUUUGCAUCUGGCAGAGCUGUAGUAUGCUUUCUUUCUUAUUUAAAAUUUCCCGGUGCAUUUGUGAAGAAAAUUUAAAAACUUUGGGUACCAUAAGAUUGCUUCUACAUUUUGCUUGUAAUUUGAUAGUCUUUAAGUAUUUGUUAAUCAUACUUUGCUUUUAAAAAAAUAGUUGGAUGGCAUCUAUUGUCAAUGUUCCAGGGUGUCCGAUGCUGCGCACGUUGCAUCUACUAAAUCCGUAUGUGCAGUACUACAAUUUUCCAGGGGUGCGUGGAAGUUAGCUAUCCUCGUUCCAGAGCCAUGACUUGGCUUCGAGAUCUUAUGGGUUUCAACUCUAGCCUACCCCAACUUGUUUGGGACUGAAAGGCUUGGUUGUUCUUGUACUGUAAUCCUAUCCUAUAUAACUAAAUAGGUGAUCCCCAUUAACCUAUUUCUCUCAACAUGCAACCACGCCACCUGAACAUGCAUGGGAAAAAGCCCACCUCAGCAUGCAACUAUGCAUGAGAAAAUGCUCAAAUGUUUUAUGCUACUUAUAUUCAAUUAUACAAUAAUCAAAUAUAUAUUUAGUUUCAGUUCUUAUAUUAUUAUUUCGAAGUUCAUGUUCAUAUAAUCAAAUCUCAUCGAAAUAUAUUGCAAGCAAUUCCACAGCAAUGUGUGGGGUAUUAUCUAGUUAUUUUAAUAAGGUGAACACAAUUUCGUGCUGAUGAUUAUAUACGAUACAUGUUUCUGCUGUUGCUUCAGGAUUUCUUGAAAUACAACGAAACCCGCUUACAGCAGUUACCAUGUCAAAUUUUUGAGCCUAUUCCCCUGGGAGAAGGUACUGGUGUUGGAAUGAUGAAAGGGGCUGACACAGUGGAAAUGCCAGAAGGGUCCACAUUGUAUGAUCUCAUUCAAACUGGGAUAACCCACUCGCAUGCUGCAGUUGGUGUUGUGGUUCGUUUGAGAAAGGAGCUAUCACUUGUUAAAGACGUGCCUGUACUGUUUGCCAUCGACCAGGUAUGCUUGGAGUGUUGAGGUCCAUGCAUGCGGCUUCUUUCAACUCUGAUGGUUAUAGUGAUAGUAAUGAUCAGUCUCACUGAAAUAUGUUUCUUCCUUUUGCAGUAUAACAGUUGGUUUACAUUCACCGAGUUCCAGGAGCCUGUAACUGUUAGAUCCUGUCGAUCAAUCCACGCGAAAGAGCUUACAAUGGUUUGUUGCACCAAAGCUGCUUGCGUUUGUUAGCAUUACUCUUGCUUACUCGCUGAAAUUGCUUGUAAUUUUCUCCUUCCAAAAGUGGCAAACACCUGUGUGUCCUUUCAGUCAAACUUUUCUAUCUUUGACCCAGUUUGUAGAAAAAAUAAUCAAAAUCCGCAAUACUAAUAAAUACUCCCUCCGUUCCUAAAUAUAAGUCUUUUUAGAGAUUUCACUACGGACAUAUGGAACAAAAUGAGUGAAUCUAUAUUCUAAAGUAUGUCUAUAUACAUCCGUAUGUAGUUCCUAGUGAAAUAUCUAAAAAGACUUAUAUUUAGGAACGGAGGGAGUAAUAAAGUUUAUGAAAAUAUAUAUUUCAUGAUGAAUAUAAUGAUACUGAUUUGGGAUCGUACAUGCUUUAUGAACUUGGUCAUUGAUAGAAAGUUUGACUUUUGAAAAACUAAUACACCUUACAAAAAAUAUCGGAGAGAGUAUCUUUCUGGUUAUGCAACUGUAGAAAGAUUAAGGCCUUCUCCCUUUUCUGGUUAUUCAUUUUUCUUUACAGCCCUAGAUUGUCCUGUUUCAUUUAUCUAGCUGAUAGCAUUGCUGUGAUUUGUUUUUUCAAGUAAAUGCGGUGUAUGGGUUAUAGUGUACCAAGAAUUCUUAAAUAAAAUUUGAUAGAUCUGAGAAUGUUGUUUGUCUUCGUUUUGGUCUAAGAAAUCAUAUUGAAGUUUUCUCAUCAUGUGUCACUGGUAGAGCUUUUCUAACUACUUCUAUUGUACUGUAUAAUUCAUCAUAGCUAGUUUUAUUUGAUAAAUCUUUUCUUUCACCAACUCUGGAUGGUCUGAAAAUGUACAUGCAUGAUUUUUUAAGCUCUUCUGACUAAACUGGUCACAACUAAUUAUGCUUUACAUACAUUGCUUACUUCAACAGGUCAAUGCUUAUAGGUCAAUGCUUCACAAUGAUAUGAUGGUAGGAGCCUUCUCACAUUCAACAGCAGUUGGCAAGCUAAGACAGGAGCUCCCGGAUGUUCCCUCUGAUGCUCGUCUGAUUUUUCCGCGGUACACUGUAGAUGAGGCAGAGACUGUGUGCCACUAUUAUAUGAGGUACUUCCAAAUAAAAGUUCUGUCUAGUGAUAGCUUUUGAAUAUCAUGCCAUAACCUGCAAUCCCAUGUGCUUACAGAAGCUCUAUUUGCGCGACCUGUGGCUUUUGAAAGGUUUUGUAACUUAAUUCAAGCAAAUGACCAUUUUGAUCUAUUUGUUUGGCAGGCAAAAGAUUAUUCGCCGUGAAAGUUUUUCAGAGGAGAAGUGGAAAAAGAUAUACUAUUUGUCAAAUGGAAAUGGCUCAGAGAUGAGGUGGCUUGCUGCGUUUAUAUGAGGCAGUGAAUACUCUAAGUUACUUAAUAAUUGUAGGUUGCCUGGAUGUUUGGACAAGAUUUGUGCUUUGAUUUGAAAUCCCCGGUUAUCAGAAAUUUUGUGUUCAAUUUUGCAUCUUCUUACUUAGUUUCUGAUGCCAGGAGUGAUAUAGUAUAAGAAAAACUGCCACUUUGGUUCCAGCAUGCCACUUCCUCGCUGUUGUAUACUUGUACUAUGUCUUAUGGAACUCCUGGGAGCAAAUUGCUACCUAGUAAAAUAUCUAAGAUUUUCUAUCCCCACUAGAAGUGUGAAGAUAAUUUUGGCUGUGGCUCCAAAUUUAAUCCAUGUGUUCUCACGAGUCACGACACAUUCUUUAUGGGUACUGACUAGGAUUAUAGUGAGCUGCCCUACUGAUGAAGGAUAUGAAGAAUAAGCAACUGGUAUAUGAUCUUAGUAAAGCUUCAAUAUGUUUUGGUUCAAAUAUAGUAUACUUCUCCCUGUUGGCCGGGCGCUGUAGCGAUCAAAGAAUUUGAGUUAGGGCAUCUCCAAUGGUUGUAAGAUAGUUGUUGGUAAUUAUGACACAUAGGAUUUUUGAUGAUGUGUCUUGCAAUAAAUAAGGAAAGAGAGUAAGGUUGUAUGUAAAUUAACCAACACUCUUGCACAAGCUUCAAUGUAGAAUGAGAGAGCACAUUAUUUAUUACCUCACAUCUUUUUAAACAAACUAAAUACAAUUCAUUGAAGUAGUUGUAUGUUAAGGCGUUGGCUGAUGACAUGGCGAGAUGUCCUUACAGGAUGAUCUAUUAAUGAAUUCAACUUUAUUGAAGAGGCACUUGUUACUAAAUGAAUGCUUAAUAAUCCGGCAAAGCCUUAUUUUAAGUUUGAUCUGAUAAGAUUUUGGUAAAUGCUGUUUGCAUCCUUUUCAAUUAUCAACCUUAUUUGUGAUUUUGCUAAGCUUGUGUUGAUGGUUUAAUUUGUUAAUUUAGUAUCCUAUAUGGCUCAUUAAGCCCCUGUUCGGCAGCCCGCCACGGAGCAGAGCGCGAGGAGCGUCCUGUUAGCAAUUCCUCAGAAUAUAACUAGGUGUCACUCCGCUCUGAUGUGGAGUUGCGGAACGGAGAGAGUCCGAACAGUCUCUAAAUAAACUUGUCAUGAUGAAAGGCCCUGCUGACGAGCUGAUAAUUUUUUCACACUCCUCUCUGCGUUUGCGUGCGUUCUGAAUUACUGCCCCUAUAUGGUUUCUGCUCCUGCGUGAUUAUCCAUCGAUCGCCAUCUAUCUUGGGUCACAUCUCAACCUCUUGAUGUGGAUUUCCCGCGGAAGCUUCUGACCUAAUUCAUUUCCGCGUCAUUGAUAAUUAGUGGAGCAUUUCAUUUGUAGCCCUGCAGUGGAAUCACGGUAUGUAGUGUCGUAACGUCGAAUACGUCUGUAAUGCAAUGUAAUGUAAUCUAACCUGCAAGCUACGCACGCCUUGCUUUCUGUCGUACCAAAUUGACCCGUAUUUUGAACUUUUCCCAAGAAUCAGCAUCACCCUCUGCCCUGCCGGUGCCGGGAGUGUCAUUGAAUUUUCUAUUGCCAGGAACGUUAACAGGAUACACGUCAAUUUGCAAGCUUUUUGAGAGAGGCGACACAUGUUAAUCGCCCAAAAUUCCCAAAAAACGUUUCACCGGUUUUACAGUAGCCACACAUAAGCAUUUCAACCAUGGCAGAAAUCUGAAAAGUCCUCGUGUCCCAAGCAUUUCUAUCGUGAAUAAUGCACGGCAACUUGCUAGAACGAUGUAGAAACCCUCUCCUUCCCGGGUGGUAGGCCCCCACCCUUGUCCCCUAGCAGGAAGGAUAAGCCCACACACAAGCCCUCCUCUGCCUUCUCCCUUGGUGCAAGGAGCUGGCUGGCUCCUUGAUGCUGAUGUGCCCAUGCCCAUGUGUGUGUGUGAGUGCCCACCCAUAUAUAGCUUUCUCCCUCUGGCUCCUUGCUCCCCUGCCAAUAGUUGAUCCGUCCAGCAGCAGCAAGCAACCAGGUUCAGGUUUGAUCCUCUAGCCUUUGCGGUUGCGUCCGUCGAUUUGUCUGCCAUGGAGGGAGGAGGCGCUCCUUCCGUCCAGGACGUGUGGGACUGGGAGGUGCUGCCUGACGAACACAGGAGCUUCUACGCCGAGAGCAGGGCUGCAUCCCGUGCCCACGGCAGCGGCGAGGUUCUUGCCGGUAAGCUCGCUCUUGAUCACGAUUUUUUUUACUUCGGUUUCCACUCAUGUUCCAAUCCCUGUAUUUGUAAUUGUAACUGUAAUUGAUUGCGUGCGUACUCCAGAUCACGAAACCGAGGAACCGAUCCUGCCUCCCCCGUCACAAGUGGACGCUGGUAAUGUUGACGAGUGUAAGGACAUCGGCGUCGACGUCGUGCCGGCCGAGCCCAGAUCAACUAAAGAGGGUAAAGAUGAAGAACCCACGGUGACGGAGCUGCUAGUCUCUGACGGCGACGGGCAGGACAAGUUCCAGGCCUGUGACGACGCCAAGGAGGUGGACGACGAUGGCAAGCAGAUGGCUGCGGCAGAGGCAGUGGAAUCAGCGCUUCCUCCUCACGAGUUCGCCGCGGGAGAGGAGGAAGAGGGCAAGAAGGAGGAGGACGGCGCGCCGCCGGAGUGCGUGGUGUUCAGCGUGGGGAAGCUGCGCGUGAACGCGGUCGGGGCGCUUUGCUCGUUCGGGGUGGCGGCGGCCACCGUCUGCGUGUUCCUCGUCGGCGGCAGGCUGCAGCACCACAAGCAGCACCAGCAUCAGCAGCAGCAGAAGAUCCAGCUGCAGUUCCUUGGCGAUGAUAAGGUUUGCUGACUCUGUCGCCACCUAAUCCGAUCCAGAGCAUCAGAAUCCUUUUCCUAUUAGUAAUAACUCAACUUAAAUCAAUUACAAUAUCAAUCAACUAUGCCUUUUUUUCUCCCGAGAAACACCGUACACACUCACAUACACGAACUCCCUGUCUCUAUGACUAUGAGCACCUUCAGUAGAUUGAGCCGACAGAUAUCCGAUUGACGAAGUCUGUCACAGACGCAUGGUGCACGGCCUAAUUGGACCCAUUCCAACACCGCAGUCCGCAGUUUUCUUCCCGGAUUUGACCGCCAUCCGCUUCUUGUGGAACUGAAUCUUGAAAUAUUAUUUGUCCAAGAGAAGACUGGCUGAAGUAAUACAUAUGCUGUUGAUCUGUGGAUGUGCAGAGAAUUCAGCAGGUGGUGCAGCAGACAUCGAGGCUGAACCAGGCCAUGUCAUCUAUGAUGGGGGCAGGCGCGUCCACAAGGGCCAACAUAUCGUUCGGUGGCUUCUACGACGGCUUCUGAUCCACCCGCCCGCGAUUCAACUCUCGGAUCAAGCACAAGCUGCUGGAUUCAACUACGUACAUCUGAUGAAGAAAAAGCUAGCUCAUGCGUUAUAGCAAAUCAGCAGCCUUGGUAGUGGUUGUCAUGUACGUAUAACAUAGAUCACGUGUCGUGUUUGUACAUAAUGCACGAUAUACUGGGUGUAAAUAAUUGGGACCGUGGCCGGGCCGGCUGUAUGUGUAUGCAGAUGAGGAUGGAUUCAUUAAUAGAUUUGUUAUUAAGUUCAUAGAUAAGGGAUAACGACCAUGUCGUUGUGCUGGAACAGGCUGUCGCGGGGAGGCUCUUUCUUUCUUAACACGGUACAAUCGAGAUGCUUUAUAUACGAAAAAAGUCCAAAACAAACCUUGAAGUUAUAGAGAAAAGCUAAAUCAAAUCAUGAACUUUGAAUCCCUAAAAUCGGCACACCGAACUCACUGAUCCUGGUCUAUUUUAAAUCCGGGAUUUGCUGAAUUGGGCCGGGCCCAUUAGCGCAGUUGCGCACGCGCGCACCCUCUGCUCUGUUUUUAUUUUUAUUUUUUUAUUUUCUUUUUGCUUUUUCACAUGUGUAUAUUUUUUUCAGUAUCCAAUGUAUUUUUUUAACAUAUAUGUAUAUUUUUUGAUAAACUUCCAAUAUUUUUCAACACAUUAUGUACAUUUUAAAAGUACAUCUUACAAAAACAAUACAUGGUAAUAUUUUUCUAAAUAAAUAUUUUAUAUUUUCUAAAUAACAAUAAACAUUUUAUAAAAUUGAUAUAUAUAUUUUUGAGGUAUAAAUAACAAUAAACGUUGAAUGUUUGGCGCUAGGAUUAUGCUCCUACAAAUUUAUAAAAUGCAUGUUAGACCAACACGAAUAGAAUUAAAAAUACGAAUAGAACUAAAAAUACGAAUUGAAUUAAAAAUACGAAUAAAAUUAAAAAUACAAAUAUAAUUAAAAAAACCAAACAUUUUUUGAAACAAAAAAGUCACAGAAUUUGUGACAAAAAUAGAAAACAUAAAUAUUUUUAACUUCUGAACAAUUUUAAAAAUGCGCGAACUUUUUUUAAACUUUGUAUUUUUUUUUGUUAGUGGGCCAAUCCAAUUUCUAUCUAUAAGAGUGCAGCCUAGCAGGUUAUCCCGGUCGGGAUUGUGGUAUUGCCAGAAUCCCGGUGUGCCAAACGGGCCUAGGGUUCAAAAUAGACCGGGAUUACAAGUUCAGAGUGUCAAUUUCAGGGAUUCAAAGUUUAGGGUUUGAUUUAACUUUCGUCUAUCACUUCAAGGUUUGUUUUGGACAUUUUCCCUUUAUAUACACACACAUAUCUCUAUACUAUGAACGUGCACACAUACAACAUUCUGUAUGGGCAUCUCCGAUAUACUGCAAUUUUGCCUAUUUAGGCCCUAUUUGGAACCACUCGGAUUAUAUAAUUCAGUUUUUAUAAUCUAUUAUGUCUUCAAACAAAACAUAUUAUGGUAUAGAUUAUAGAAACUAGAUGGACAUAUUAUUAAAAACUCACAAUCUACUCUACCCCAGCUAAAAUCAGAUUAUGCAUUCCUAAUGAUGUUUUCGAUGUUGGGAGUUUUUAUCGGUCUUAUUCGAGGAAGGGUUCUCACCAUUUUUUAUGGGCCUUUUAUCACUUGAUUCUUAUUGACAUUUCUAUCAAGAUUGUGUUAGCCCAUGUCGUUAGCUUUCCAACAAACUUGGUUUCGUUGAAUUUGGAGUCCGCAUGCGAAAGUUAAGGCAGUUUCUGUGGCGAGGAGUAGUACCGCUUGUGCCUAACGGUAGUACCGCUCCAUCGGACUUUAUUUGCGCAUCCUUUUUGCCUCGGCAUGGCUGGUGAACCUACUGAGCGGUAGUACCGCUCCGUCGGACUUUAUUUACGCAUCCUUUUUGCGUGAGCAUGGCUGGUGAAUCUACCGAGCGGUAGAACCGCUCCCAUGAGUGGUAGUACCGCUCUAUGCGGGCUGUGAAGCAUAACGGUUGGUUUUUCCCCACCUAUAAAAGGGGGUCUUCUUCCUCAUUGAACCUUAUCUCUUUAGCUCGUGUUCUUCCCUCAUUGUUGACCUACUUCGAGCUUGCUAACUCUCAAUCCCUCCAAUGAUUCUUGCUAGUUCUUGAGGGAAAAGAGAGAGGAGAUCUAGAUCCACAUUUCCACCAACCACUUUCUCCUCUAAGUGAGGGGAACCGUUUGGGUCUAGAUCUUGGAGUUCUUCGUGUUCUUCUUUGUUCUUCAUCUCAUUUUACUCCCUUGCAUUAGUUGUUUUGGUGGGAUUUGGGAGAGAAGGACUUGGGCACUCUGUGUGCCCUUGUCAUUGCAUUAGGUGCAUCGGUUUGAAUUCUCCACGGGUGAUACGUGGAAGUGAGAAGCUGAGAAGCUUAUUACCCUUGGGUACUUGGUACCCCUAGAAUCUUGGUGGUGCCUCGGAGCUCAAUCAUUGUGGUGUAAAGCUCCGGGCAAGCGUCGGGGUCUCCAACUAAGUUAUGGAGAUUGCCCCGAGUAUUUGUGGUCACCUUGAAGCCAUAUGCCAUUGUGGUGAAGCUUCGUGGUGUUGUUGGGAGCCUCCAAUUAAGUUGUGGAGAUUGCCCCGACCUUGUUUGUAUCAAGGGUCCCUUAGUGGAAUCACGUCAUCUUGCAUUGUGCGAGGGCGUGAGGAGAUUACGGUGGCCUUAGUGGCAUCUUGGGGAGCAUUGUGCCUCCACACCGCUCCAAUGGAGAUUAGCAUCCGCAAGGGUGUGAACUCCGGGAUACAUCAUCGUCUCCACCUGCCUCGGUUAUCUCUUACCCGAACCCUUUACUUAUGUACUUUACUUUGUGAUAGUCAUAUUGUUUCUUGUCAUAUAUCUUGCUAUCACUUAGUUGCUUAUCUUGCUUAACAUAAGUUGUUGGUGCACAUAGUUGAGCCUAGUUGCUUUAGGUUUUGUGCUUGAAAAAUUAAACGUUAAUUUUAUUCCGCAUUUGUUCAAGACUAAACCGUAAUUAUUUUAAAGCGCCUAUUCACCCCCCCUCUAGGCGACAUCCACGUCCUUUCAAUUGGUAACAGAGCUAGGUCUCUCUUUAUUAGGUUUAACCACCUAGAGAGUAAGGAUGUCGACUAGGAGUUUAGGAUUCACUUACACUCUUAGUUUCGAUCGCACAAAUUUUGAUGUUUGGGUAAUUCACAUGCUUAAUCACUUUUGGGUCUUGGACCCAAAUUUAGAGCGAAUUGUAGAUAUGGGUUUUCUCCUCCAAAGGAUUCUCAAAAUAUAUCUUUAAAGGAUGAGAAAAACUCUUAUCUCGAUGCUCAAGCUUCUAAUGUGCCUUUUGAUGCUUUGAGCAAUGUAGUUAUAUUUCAACUCAUGCCAUUCCGGGAUGCUCAUGAGUUGUGGACAAAGCUUCAAGAUAAAUAUGGUACGUCCAAGAUUUGUGGGAAUGAUUGUUAUCCCUCCACCUCCGGUCAUGUGGUCUUCUCAACUUCAUCUACUUCACCUACAUGUGGAUUGCCACAAGGUAAUGAUAUGGUGAGUAGUGGAGAUCAUUGCAAUGAUGAUAGUGGGCUUAUUGUUGAUGAUCCUUCAUCACUAUAUUAUUGCAAUGCUUCAUCUUUGGGCGUUAACACUUUGAGCACUCUAAAUAUUUUACAGGCUUGUAUUGAUAGUCCGUGCAUAUCAUGUAAAAACUGCUUGACUAAAUCUCAUGAUGAUACGAUUUCUAUAUCUUGUUGCCAUGAUAAAAAUGUAUCUAUUUCCUCGAGUUGUUGUGCUAACAACGUAGAGGAAAUCCAUCACUCCAUGGAACAAGAUGUGGCCUUAAAUGAUGCUUCAAGGGAUCCCACAUCAUCAUCUAUUGUUUCUCACUUUUGCCUUAUGGCUAAGGCUUCAAAGGUAUCUCCUACUUUGAAUCCCAAUAAAUCUCAUGAUGAUGAUGUUGAUGAUAAUGAGGAUGAGGAUAAAGAUGAAGAGAGUGAUGAUAUUGCAUCCUUAAAAAUUAAGGGUGAAAUGAUUUUUAAAUAUCUUUAUAAGAAUAAACUUGCUUGUUCCAACUUCAUGGAAAUCAUGUCUAUUGCCACCGAGGGCAAGAAAUAUAUGGAGUAGUUGGAAGCUCAUCUUGAUUUGCAUGAGGCCACCAUUGAGACAAUGGAAGGUCAUGAGCGUGAUUACGCUAAUGAGAUCACAGAGAUAUCUCAAUCUCUUGAAAAUGAACAAUCCACCAAGGAAUCUCUUGAUGAGACCUUUGCUCUUGAAUUAUCUAGAUUAAAGGAAUCUCAUGAUAGAGCUCUCGAUGUGGCUAAUGAUUUUAGAACUAAAAAUGAUAAGCUUGAAGUUGCACAUGCUAAACUCCGUGAGGACUAUGAGCACCUCGAAAAUGGCUCAAGGGCUAUUAAGAGUUCUCUCAUCGAACUCACCGAGUCUCAUGCUCAACUUGAAGCUUCAUAUGCUAAAGAGCUUGCCUAGUUGCCUUAUCCUCUUAUUGCUAAUGAUGAUGCUUGUGCUACUAACUCUACUUCUUGUGAAGCAUCCAUUUGAAAGGAGAAUGUUGAGAUAAGGGCUCAACUUGAGUUGAUAUCUAGCAAUUAUGGGAAAUUGGAAGAAAGUCAUGUAAUGCUCACAAGCUCUCAUGAUGAUCUUCUAGCAUCCCAUAAUGUGAUAAAAUUAGCUCAUGAGGCUAUUACUACCAAGGUAACAUCAAGUGAGCCUCAUGUGGACAGUGACACUACUUCUAGUCAAAAUGCUCUAUUGCCAUGUGCUAGUCCUCGUAAUUCUUCUACUCAUAAUGUUGCUACCUCUUGUGAUGAAUUACUUUCCUUGCAUUGUUGCUCUAAUAAUGAAGCUUAUACUUUCUCUAGUACUUGUGUUGAUACUAACCAUGUAGAGGAAAUCUAAGAGCUCAAGGCCCAAGUCACUUUUUUGAAGAAAGACUUGGAAAAGAGUCAUGAAGGGAUGUCCACACUCAACAAUGUCUUGUGUGCGCAAAAAUCCCCGAAUGACAAAGAUGGACUUGGAUUCAACUCCAACAAGAAGAAGAAGUCCAAAAACUUCAAGAAGAAGGGCCAAGAACAAGUCAAGAAUUCGGCCAAGAUUAUUUGCUUCAAGUGCAAAAUUGAAAGGCACCAUGUUAGAUCUUGCCCACUAAAGAAGAAGCCCCAAAGUCACAAGCAACAAGGGAAGCGGCCACAAGUUCAAUCACAUACUCAAAUACAAGUUGAAGGAAGGCCUCUUCCCAAGAAGACCCAAGCCAACACUCCUCAUGUUGAGAAAUCAAUAGGGAAGAAAUUAAAGGGUAGAUGUUGCUACUUAUGUCAUGAGAAGGGUCACUUUGCUUCUUCUUGCAUGAGAGGUAAUUUAUCCAACCCAAUCAUUAUUGAUGAUAUCUAUUCUCUUGGGAAGGAUAAGGUUGGCAAUGUGUUUGCCAAGUUUGUUGGUACUCAAAGUGGUGUCAAGAAAAGUACCAUUUGGGUUUCCAAGCCUAUUGUGACUAACCUCUUAGGACCCAACGUGGUUUGGGACCAACAAGCUCAAACUUGAUCAAUAGGUGAUUGUGGAGGACAUUGGAGACUUGGAUACAUAAUGAAGAAUUAAGGGGUCUUCAUCAUUCAUAUUAUCUCAAGCCAAGUCAUUUGGAUUAUCGAGUUUCUAUCUUAUAUCCAAUGUGCCUCCUUACGGUAACUUGUACUUAAACUGUUUACAUUGUUAGUUACUUGCCCCUUUGCAUGUUGUGGUUUUGUACCUUGCAUGUGUUUGUAUAUGUUGUGCUUCCAACUUGCUUAUCUUGAGUAAUCGAGUAUGUGUAUGUUGGUUUGAAUAUCAUGUACAUGUGAGUUUUGUAUUGAGCCUUUUUGCAUCUUAGUUUGUAUCUUUGUUGGCUCUUGUGAGAGAUUAAUGGAUUAUCCCAUUGUGGGGGAGUGAUGUGUGUUGCACACCUCACAAUCCUAUAAAUGUGUAUACAUGGGGAAUACCACUUGGUAUUGAUAUUUCAAGAUUAUCUAGUUUCUAUGUGGUAUGUCUUACUCAUGAGAAAUUCAAAUUCUAUAUGGUCCAUUAAUUAUAUCUUGUUGGUUUUAAUUUUCCACUUGUUAAUAUUGUUGGGUUAUCACAUUAUGGGGAAGUAAUAUGCUAUGUGCAUAUUACAAGCCUAGAAAAUGUGUACAUUUGAGGUAUUGCCACUUAGUGUUGAUAUUGUAAAUUAUCUUGUUCCUAGGUGGCAUGUUAGCUCUUCAAGUGUCAUUUGCUUGCGUUUUAGGGGUAAAAGAUGAUGUUGGAUAUAUUUGCGAUCUACCAAUGGGUAUUAUUGUAACGACUAAGAUGCGGCCCUUUUCCUAUUUAGGGGGCGAUGCCCCAAAAGGGAAAGAGGCGCAUCUAAGCGUUUCGCAAGCGAGAUAAUCAUAGCAGAAACAUAAAUUAAGAUUGACAAAUAGGGGAUACAUUUGCCAUCUGACAUAGUAACAUAAAGUUUACAUCCACACAAUUAUUCAGACAAGAUAGUCCUGCUACGGGCUACAUGAAACAAGGAAAAGACUAUGAUAUCCCGCAUGCUCGCCCACGAUCACGACCACGGCCUCAGUCUUCCGGAUAGUUCACGUACAUACGGUCGUUCUCCUCAUCGUACUGCCACGCCAGCUGCGUGUCAUCUGGAUCUCCUGCGUCGGGCGUACCUGUACCUAUUGGGGGUGUUGUAGUAAACUGUAAGCCACGGGGACUCAGCAGUCGGAUGACCUUGGUACCGAAACUAGUCAAGUUAUUAGGUGAGGAAGGUUCAGUGUUUAGGUUGCAGCAUCCUAAGCAUAUAUGGUGGCUAACUUACGAAGAUCAGAGUUAUGAUAUGGUGGUCUACGCGAGCGGUCGAAGACUAGGUGAUCACUAAGUGAUCCUGAACACCUACUUACGUCAAACAUAACCCCAUCGUGUUCCCGAUCAAAGAGAGGUCUUCGAAAGAGACAGUCACGAUUACGCACACAGUUGGCAGUUUUAUUAGAGUUAGUUCAAGUUAUCUAUCACCGGAUGUUAACAAAUUAUCCAUGUUGCCACAUAACCGCGGGCACGGCUUUCCGAAAGAUUAAACCCUGCAGGGGUGCUCCAACUAGUCCAUCACAAACGGUCACGGGCCGCAAAUAAUCCUCUAUCACGAAUCUCGUGAUCUCAUCGGAUUCCUUAGAGGAAAACCUCAACUUUGAGGAGACCCAAAGUUUCAGCGGGAUUCCUAUAUGCAAGAUAUAUCGCUAAGGUAAGACAAAUCUAGCAAGACCUCCCAUCAUGCCAACGACCCCGAUAAGAGCCGCGUAUCUUAGUCUCAGGACACGUCGGAUGAGCACUAUGUACGGUGGCCGGAUAGACAUCCCCCGAGUUGCCCCGGGUGGCCCCGCAAGUGGCUAGCUUUGGACCAACGCUCAUAAGGAGCACUGGCCCAGGUUGUUGAUUAAAUCCUCGGGGUAGCUAUUCCCUAUGAAAAUUAUUAUUAGGUGAUUAGCAAAUUAAAACCAAUGUUGGGUCCUGCCGGACAAGCCUUAACACUACACGAUUUAUCAAGGGGUUCCCCAUAACAACCCCGAACGUGUUAGGAGCGAUCAGUUAUGGAAAACAAACACCGGUAGCCGAAACUAAGGCGGCAAUAACGGAACAAAUCACCCGGCAAAAUGCUAGGCCUUCCAUCAUUUACCAAGUAUAUAGGUGCAUUAAUUAAAUAGCAGUUUAAACAUAAUGAUAUCAAAAUACUCAUGUCAUCACAUGAGACAACUAGCACUUGCAACUAGCAAAGCUAAUCAUUAGAAGCCGAGCAAGCCUACUUAGCCAAAAAACAUUAGCUAGGAGGGGAUGAUGUUUGGGUUUCACGGCAAUAUCACGAGGCAAUUAUAUCAAGUGGUAGGCAGCGAGCAUUUAUCGAAGGAAACGUGAUUGUAAGCAUAACAAAGCUAGAUACGGUAUUGUCACGCCCAAGAUGCAAACCUAUCCUCAAUUUGGCACGAGGGCCUCGUCAGGGAUAGAAGCGCAUCUCGUCGUGUCGCAAGAAUGGAUAUCAUUACAAGUACAUGUACUGAAAAGAAGAGUUAUAUAAUAGAAUUGGCUUACACUCGCCACAAGCUACAUCAGAGUCACAUCGGUACAAUACAUAAACAUCAUGAUGAAGAGCAAGGUCCGACUACGGACGAAAACAACGAGAAAAUAAGAACGACGUCCAUCCUUGCUAUCCCAGGCUGCCGGCCUGGAACCCAUCCUAGAUCGAUGGUGAAGAAGAAGAAGAGGCAACUCCAAAUGAACAAUCAACGCGCUCGCGUCAAGUAACCUUUACUUGUACCUGCAACUGGUGUUGUAGUAAUCUGUGAGCCACAGGGGACUCAGCAAUCUCAUUUCCAAAGGUAUCAAGACUAGCAAAGCUUAGUGGGUGAGACAUGGUUAAGUGGUGAGGUUGCACCAACGGCUAAGCAUAUAUAUAUGGUGGCUAACUUACGAGUACAAGAAAUAAGAGGGGGAAGAUCUACGCAUAACAGACGUGAACUACUGAUGAUCAAAUGAAUGAUCCUGACCACCUACCUACGUCAGACAUAACCCCACUGUGUCCUCGAUCGGAGAAAGAACUCACGAAAGAGACGGUCACGGUUACGCACACAGUUGGCAUAUUUUAAUUAAGUUAACUUCAAGUUAUCUAUAAUCAGUGUUAAACAAAGUUUCCACAUUGCCACAUAACUGCGGGCACGGCUUUCCGAGAAGAUUUAACCCUGCAGGGGUGCUCCAACUAGUCCAUCACAAAUUACCACAAGCCGCAUAGAAAUCCUCAAUCACGAAGCUCACGAUCUCGUCGGAUUCCCUAGUGGAAAACCUCAACUCUGAGAUUACCCAAAGCAUCACCGGAAUCCCGAUGCACAAGAUAUUUCGUCAAAGGUAAAACUAACCCAGCAAGGCCGCCCGACGUGUCGACGAUCCCGAUAGGAGCCGCGUAUCUCGUUCUCAGGACACGACGGAUGGAAAAGCCUACAAGUACCAAUCCUCGAGUUGCCCCGUGGUGGCCCCGCAGUCUUUCCACUUUGGACCAACACUCAUGAGGAGCACUGGCCCGGGGGUUGAUUAAAUUUCGUCGGGUUAAUUAGUCCCUAUGCAGUUCAUUAGUUAUUAGGAAAAUAUAGUACCAAAGUUGGGCCUUGCCAGACCAGCUUUAUUCUAAAACGAAUUAUCAAGGGGGUCCCCAUAACAACCCCGAUCGUGUUAGGAGCGCUCAUUUAUGAAACAUAACACCGGUAGCGAAAAACUAAGGGGCAAAGGUGGAACAAAACACGAGGCUAGAAAGGCCGAGCCUUCCACCUUUUACCAAGUAUAUAGGUGCAUUAAAUUAAAUAGCAAUUAAUAUGGUGAUAUGACAAGGAACCCAUGUUAUCACAUGGAAGCAACUACACCUGCAACUAGCAACGCUAACAACAUGGUUAAUCAAGCAGUAACAUAGCCAAUCAGUGGUUUGCUAGGUCGAACAGGUUGAAGGUAAUCAUGGCAUUGUUGAGAGGCUGAUAUUUAACAUGUGAUAGUCAACGAGACAUAAACGUUAGAAGCGGUAAAACUAGCAUGGCAAUGAUAGUAAUGGUAUCUGGGGAAAUGGUCAUCUUGCCUGAGAUCCCGCUUGGAAGAAGAACAACUCUGAGAAGUCGGCGAACCAACGUAGUCGAACGGGUCUUCACAUUCCGACACGCUUGCGGAACUCUAUCGAGACGGAGCAAACUGGAAACAAACAUCAACACAAAUAUUCACCACACGAUGCACAACAUGAUGCACAACCUACCAUGAUGCAUGAUCAGUUCAAUGAUGCAAGGGAUGGCAUGGCAAUUCACCUCAGACAAACACUACACAUUAAGUGAAGCUCGAUAUGCAAUGAGUUGCAUAUCGACGAAAAUCCACAUUUAAUUAUUAGUUCACUCCCGUUAAUUUACCGACAAGAUUAAAUUGUUGUUAACAUGGCAAGGGGUGAAGCGGUGAUUCUACCUGACAUCCUAGACGGUUAACACGUGGAACAUAGAGCGGAGCUACGUCACAACAGGCAUGCAACACAAGAUAAUUAUGCUAUGAAUGCGUCAGGCAUGCGAGUUCAUUACAUCACGACAAGGAGGGAAAAGAAGCAUGUGUCGCCACGGCAAGCAAGAGGGAACCAUGGCGGCAAGACGGAAACGAAGCCAUGACUACAUUCCUAUCCCGAUAACUCGUCGAGAUAUCGUGCCAACAUAUAGGAAGCGUGUGCGGGAACGUUAAAUAAAGAUGGGGUGAUCCCGCUACCGGGUUCCCAUGUGUCGGGGCUCAACGAAAGAGGGACAACGUGCAAUGGCAACAUACGACACAAACAUACGAUACAUCUCAUACAUCACAUGCACAUGGGCACGACACGUCCCAUCGGUAUACCUUCGAAGCGUGCGAAUCGGAGGGGAUAAGUUCGUAGCGGACGUCGUGGAAGUCGUGGUCGUCGUCUCAUCGACGGUAGUCAUACACUUGGCGUCGGCACACGAGUCUUCACAUCGGUAGUCGAACACGUUCUGAACACGUCCGGGGGUCGUCGAGGAAGUCGUGGUACUCGCCGAAUUUGUCGAUGACUCACGGCAGGCGGGGAUGGUGCACGCGGCGACGACAUUCAACACAACAACAACAUCACGGCAGCAGCUACGGCUAACAGUUGCGACAGGUAUCGGCGACAGCAUCAACAACCGGCAUGGCAACUAGCCUAGCAGCAGCAAUCUAUAGCGGCAGCAGCAAAACGCAACAACAAGCCGCGGCAAAAACAUCAUCGGCUUAGCAGCAAAGCAGGCUAGUACUAGCAACUACAACAAGUAAACAGGCGGGCAGCUACAGCAAACGGCAGCCUAGCACAGCAACUAGCAGGCAAGCUAGCAAGCUAUGGCACAUCACCUAGCAGGAGCAACACCUACCGCAGCGCAGCAGGCACUAGCAAUCUAAGCAGCAGCCAGCAGGGCAGGCAACGACAUCAGGAAGAGCAACUCCAAGCAGCUAGCUACGCAGCAAGCAACAGCUACAGCUGCAGCAGGCCACGCAAGCAAGCGCGACAGGAGGAGGCCAACGAGGCAGCAGCAACACCUCGGCAGCGGCGCAAGCAGGCCACGGCGGGUGUGGGGAACGGCCAUGGCGGGGCGACGCCGACGGAGGCGAGAAGCACGGCGGGCAGGGCGACGAGCGGAGCACGGAGCACCUCGGGCAGGGGAACGGCCAUGGUGACAUCCACAACAUAAGACACGGCAAGCAGCAAGAGCAAGGCACGCAGCGACAGGGCGGCGCACCGGCGAGCACGACAAGAGGCGAGGGCGAGGCGGACGAGCAUGGCAGCGCGCGGGGGAGGAGCAGCUCGAGGCCUGGCGGGCGAGCAGUGCGGCGGAGGAGGGGGUCGGGCCAUGCCGGACGGAGGCGCGCGAGCGCCGACGGGAAGCUUGUGGAGGCGGCGGCGCACGGCCAUGGCGAGGCAAGGUGAGGCCGAGGCGAGCUGCGGGAGGCCAGGGCGUCGUGCAGCUCGGGGAACGGCGGGGUCGGGGCUAGGGUGAGAGGCUAGGCAGGGGAGGAGAUGGAUCGGGGCACACUACGGGAGGAGAGAGGGUUCGGGCAGGGGAAGAGGAGAGGGACGAGGGAGAGGGGAUCGGGGGAACAGGGCGACGGCCCUGCGGGAGGACGAGGGGAAACGGGCUGGGCGCUAGGGUUGGAGUGGGGGGUCUAGCUGGGCCUUGGCCGGUUGGGCCUCUGCCUCUCUUUUGUAUAUUUUUUUUUUUACUUUUAGAACAGAAAAAUCUUAAAACAAAGGAAAUUUUUUAACAAAAAUAAAAAAGGCUUUUGGCUCCUUUGAAAAUUAAACCCCAACUAUAAGAAAUAGAUUGGGCUUUUAAAAUAAUAAGAUGAAACCUUUUGAAGAAAUAAUAAAAACCCUUUUUACAAAAGAAUAAAAUCAAACCCCUUUUAGAAAUAAAAAUGCAACUCUAGUUGAAAUGAAACAAAAGAAGAAAUAAGAGAAAAACCCAAGGGGUUGCCCCCAUCUUUUAACAAAAGGAGUUUUAAAAGAAGACGAUUUUUAAAAGGGGUUAAAACGGAAUCUUUUACACAACCCCAAAAUAAAUAAAAGAGAAGAGAGGAGGGGAGUUUCUAUCACACUAAGACUCGGCGAGCACUCGAAGCACACACACUCAAAACACCACACGCGACAGGCGAUGCAAGAUGCCAUGCAUGAUGCGACGAUGCAAACUAAAUGAUGAUGCAACAAAUAAAAUUAACCACACAACGGAAACGGAAAAUAAAGGGGAAUCUUCUGGGGCGUCGGUCUCUGGCUGUCACAGGUAUCAAGGUCACGGUCAUCUUGCCUGUGAUGUCUUCAACUUGGAACUGCUCUUGAUCGUCCUGCACGUACUCCCCAGAAUCCACGUACUUGCUCUCCGAUCCCGGUGCUACCCAAGAUAGAAAUAACAGCCAAUGAACACCAACACAACCUGAUGCCACAAACAACAUUAUGCAUGAGAUGAGAAUGAAGCAUGCAUCACUAUUCUAGUCACUUGCAUAUGCAUGAGAAGAAAAGGUAAACUUCUGGACAGAACUUCUCACACUAAGCUAUCUUGACAUGCAUGAAGAUGGUAGGAACAGGUGCAUCACGGGAAAACAAUGCAAAAACAUAUAAAGAACGUUGAGAAUGGAGCUACGGAUCAACCGGAGACUACGAAACAAGAUAUGGAGUCGUACAGUUCAAAUCCACCACAAGCACACUCCAAUGGCACUCUUCUGGUGUUCCCAGGUUUCCACAUGAUCAAACAAACAAAUAUAAGUGGGGUGGUGCAGAGAAUCUCACCACACCACCAACAAUACUCACACAAGCUUCAAAACAACUAAAACAUGCAAUCUGUCCUAAACAACAUCAUAGCAGUUUGUCUACAACAUUCAAAGUACCUACAGCCAUCCAAGAGCCAAACAAGAUAUGUGGCAAAAGCCAUUCAAAAGCUCUACAAGCCUGAGCAAUAAGCUACUGCAAAGGCAUCACACAUGAGAAGAUCUAUGGUCACAAACUUGGACAAAAAUAACAGAUUUCUGGGACUUUGUGAAAAUCUCAGAUUUUCACCAGCUGCUUAUGCUCUGAAGCAUUUUGACAGCCUCCAAAAUGAUAUCUACAGGAAGUGAAAAUGCAUGAAAUUUAACAGAGAGCUAGAUAAACCCAAAAGCUUACGAACCUUAGUUUGUUGCAGGGGCUGAUUCCCAACACAUGAGCUUGUGCAACCACAUCAACAAGGGAAGAAAAUAACAUCAGUUUCUCAGAUUUAGUGAAAAUCACAGAUUUUCACAAAGCUGACAAUUUCAGCCACAUACCAACUUUGACAAGGCACAACUAGCACAUACAAACUCCUAUGUAUAAAACAAAGACUCCAUGUUGUAGAGGGGUUCACCCACUACUGCCACAUCAAGGAUUCAUCCUCAUAGGCCCAACACACCACAUGUCACCAAGCUCUAAACAUAGCAUCAAGACAGAAAAAAUGACAGUUUAUGGAGUUGCUCUAAAGUGAAAUCUGAUUCCACCAAUGGAUUCCUCGGAACUUUCUACCCCAAAAACAUAUAUUAUACUUGGGUACUUGCAUAUAACAUGUGGGCACAAAGUUAAAUCGAAAAACUACAUAGAAAUCCAUAAGGCCAAAUAGUGCAUUAUCACAUGUGAUGUUCACUAUAUCAUCACCUACACUUGCAUCCACAUCACACAAUCCUAAUAGUGACCAUGAGGGGUUAGCCCUCAUGCUCAUGUGCCUAAGCACCAAUCACACACCUACAUACAUGCAAGCACUCACUAUGCACCUGCACAUGCUAGAUCAACUACACACACCUACACAUACCUAGGUGUUUAAAGAUACACCCCUGGUACUAAGGCAACCAUGACACCUUGCUCAUGUGUGUGUUUCACACACACACACACACACACACAAGCACCACAUGUGCACACCCACACACCUACACGCAACUACAUGUAUGCCCACCCUAUACACAUACACACCAUACAUACUCAUACAUGCAUGUAACUAAGCACAUCAGGGAGAAGAUCUACCCUGGUAUUAAAUUCUAACAUAAACAAUCUUGCUGCAAAAGUAAAAGAAAAUAAAAUAAAAAGAAAACUAAAAGGAACAACAACAACAAAACCAAGAGGAGGACCGUGGGAUCGAACCCACGUCUCCCUUGUAGUACCACACCGCACACACCACUACACUAGCACUCGACGUUCGACAGAAAGGGGAAGGGAAUCAGGAAAUGCUUCCCUGUCGAGCUACUGUUCUACGAAAAAUCGAAAUUAAAAAGGGGCGCCUUGGGUUAUCGAACCCACGACCACUCGCGCCAAAACACCACUGCUACCACUCGGCUACACACGCGACACUUAACAAAGAGGGUGAGGUAACUCUCUCGAGUAACCCCCCUCUGCUACUCCUACAGUCGACGGCGACCGGAACACGGGAAGAUCACCGCCGACGCUACAGACCAAAUUGGGCGGAGCGAGCUGGCGGGGAGGAAGAGGGGUUCGAAAGGGACCCAUUUUCCUCCUAAGCACACCGAGAGGUGCACUACUGCGGCGUUCCUACGACACGACGGCGACACUGCUACGGUUCUAGGAGGGGAUCUACUAGCAGGGAAUGGGAGGAGAUCGUUGGGCUAGCUCACCCUACGCAUCGAGGAGGACGGGCACGACGUGGAGGAAGAAGACGACGAAGAGGAAGAAGAGGCUGCAGUUGAUCUCGUCGGAGCAUAGGAGGAAGAAGGUCGUCGUGGACGUCGAGGAAGAAGGGGCUGCUUGCUGCGGGAACGGCACCUCCGGAGACACCGCGUCCUCCUGGUGCCGUCGAAGGGGCGAAGGGGCUUCAUGAUCUGCUGUUGCUCGAGCUCACCGAAGGCCUCUCAUGGCGCCAGCGUCGCGAGGGGCCUUCCUGACAGCGCGAGGGGGAGGAGAAGGGGGGAAUGGGUCGACCUAGGGUUGGAGAGGACGGCGAGCAGCUUAUAUCACCUAGGGAGGCGCGCUGGAGCCGCAGGAUCAAGGGAAGGAUGGAUCGGUGGUGGGGGAGCGUUCGUACAGUGGUGACGACAGCGAGGAGGAAGAAGGUUCGCCGGUUGGGCCGCGCUAACGCUCACAGAGAGGAGAUGGGCUGACGGGAAGGAGGAAGUCCACCCUGUUGCCGCCACUUAAACAGAAAAGAAAUCAUAAGGGUUUUUUCCUUUUUUUAAACAAAACAGAGCCAAACAAUACUACCUAGGCGAAAUUGUGGACCCAAAAAGAAAAUAAAAAUGCACGUGGUCAUAGGGGAAUUAUGACCCAUUUAAAUAAAAUGAAAAGAGGAUUUUGGGGCAUUUAAAAAUAAAUUCAAAACAGAUUUAAGUAAAUGUGUUUUCAAGGUUUAAACCACAAAUAAAUCAAGUUUUAAAACCCCUUGACACAUUCUAAACCCACAAGGAUUAGCACUAAAAGAACAACAUUUUUAAAUCAGGUUUAAAACAAGUUUCAACAUGGGGUUUUCCAAAUAAAAAGGAGAAGGAGCUCUUAUUGGAAUAUAGUUUGAAACCAAGCAUGGUUUGACCUCCUCAUCACCCAUACAUCACAUCCCACUCAUGAAAACAAGCAACACAUCAUUACCAAAUCUACAACAAUGAACAAGCAACACCACCACAAGGGUUGACAUGAAAUCAUAAGGCCAUAUGCAAAGGGGAGACACACCAAAAUCAUAAGAGAUGACACCUGAAAUCACAACUCAUAAGCAAUGUCACAUGGAUCCAACAUGAAAGGAUUCCAAAUAUGGAAAAUUACCUCUGGGCCAUUAAAAUUAUUUCCAAAAUACUUCUUGUCCUUGACAAUUGGUAUUCCCAUCAUGUGGUAAAAAUUGCUAAUCAUCUUUACAUUGGAUUUUGUGUUUCGUUUGUCUUCCUUGCCUCUUGUGGAUCUAUUUUAACAUGUCUAGUGUUUGUAUAGAUAUAGAGAAAGUGAUGACCCCAUCUUGUGCAUUUAGUAUUUAAAUGCAAAUUCUAUAUAAUGCACAUCCCUUGGGGGAGCUAUCCUAUUUUCUUUAGAACACUCUCUUUAUUCGUCCAUCAUAAAAUCUUUUGAUCCCCAUCAUGUGUGUCGAUGGGAGGCAAGUCUUGAUCUUUAUGAUGCUUUGUGCCAUCAUUAAAAUUUGUCGAGGUUUUAUUUUGGAACCUAGCUCUCUUUUGGAAACUAGAUACCUCGUGUUUGUUUUUCUUCAAUUGGUAUCUUGUUUCCUUUUAUUUGGCAUGUGUCAAUGGAUAUCUCAUUCCUUGAGGUAUCUUUUAAUUGAUAUCCUUCAAGUGAUAGUUUUCCGUUGGGAUCUUAUUAUCACUUGAUACCUUGUCUUUUGGUGACUUAUCAACUUUGUGUUGAGUUGAUUCUUGAAAGCCUUGAGCAUGCGUAUUUACUAUAUAUAGCUUCUUUUGCAUGCUUUCUUUCCUUGACCCGAUAUAUAGGGGAAACUCCACCUUGUCAUAAAUUGGCUAAAGUGUGCAUGAAAUUCAAUUUCAUAUCUAUAUGCACAUAUUUAUGUGGAGUUUGUCCUAUGUAUUGUUGGUUUUCUAACUCUUUGGUCCCAAUGAGUUUGGGCACCAUUUUGUUUGUUUGUUGUUCUAGGAACAAUUGGAGAUGCAUUGGAUGCUCGGUGAAAGGAUCGAUAUGGUUGACUAGAGGGGGGGGUGAAUAGGCAACGACCACUUUUUAAUUAAUCUUAGCAAGUUAGGGUAAGCAACAUAAGGGUUCACUAAAAUGACAACAAAUAGGUGAACCUAUAUGAUGCUAACAACAAAGAUAACUAAGGCAAGUAAGAGAUACAGAACAACAUAAGCAUACACGAUGUAAAGGUUAGAGAUAACCACAAGUGGAACCAAUGAAGACGAGGAUGUGUUACUAAAGUUCCUUCCCUUUGACAGGAAGUACGUCUCCGUUGGAGCGGUGUGGAGGCACAAUGCUCCCCAAUAAGCCACUAGGGCAACCGUAUUCUCCUCACGCCCUCACAUGAUGCAAGGUAUCGUGGUUCCACUAUAGGUACCCUUGAAGGGGGCGACUGAACCUUUACAAACAAGGUUGGGGCAAACUCCACACAAAGCUUGGAGGCUCCCAACAAGACCACGAAGCUUCACCACAAUGGAAUGUGGCUCCGAGGUGACCUCAACCGUCUAGGGUGCUCAAACACCCAAGAGUAACAAAAUCCGCAAGGGAUUGGUGGGGGAAUCAACUUUUCUCUUGGUGGAAGUGUAGAUCUAGGCCUUCUCAACCAAUCCCUAAAGAAUCAACAAGUUUGAUUGGCUAGGGAGAGAGAUCGGGCACUUUUGAGCUUAGGGAGCAACAAUGGAGCUUGGGAGGGUCAAAGGUAGGGUUCUAGAGCAAGAAGAACCCCUUAUAUAGUGGGGGGGGGGGAAUCCAACCGUUUUCCCACUCAUAGCCCGAGCCUAGCGGUACUACCGCUCGCACUCCAGCGGUACUACCGCUGGCUGUAGCGGUACUACUGCUGGGCCCCUGAUAGUGCACAUGCACUACCGGGCCAACCACCGCCAAGAAAGUCUUCGCAAAAAGUCCGACGAAGUACAGCCGCUAGGAAGACGGUACUAAGUUCCUGGAGCGGUACUACCGCUGACCACGGGCGGUACUACCGCCAGCACAGCGGUACUACCGCCAGCACUAGCGGUACUACCGCUAGGGCGAGCGGUACUACCGCCAGCUCCAGCAGUACUACCGUUGGGAGACCUUUUUGCUUAGAGGAGACAAACCAUAGGUGGGAGCCACUCUAAAGUUGCACGGAAAGGUAAAGGAGAUAAAGUGUGUGUGUGCAAAAUUGAUUCCACCCAAACCUUUCCACUACGGAUCCCCUCUUAAUAGUAUGGCGUUCCUAUGACUCAAAGAAAGAGAAUCGUAGAGUACACCGUGCUUCUGUUCCAUGGAAGGAAGGGGCGAGUCGUCUUGUGCCGUUGACAUGUGUUCUCUGAAAUCUCAACACACACGAUUAGUCCUUUGCGGUACUGUCAUCAAUCACCAAAAUUACUUAGGCAUAAAAUAUGCCCUAACAAUCUCCCCCUUUUGGUGGAUUGAUGACAAUACCGGAUUUGCACAGUGAAUAGCAUGUGAACAUAAAGAUAAUGGUAGAGACAGUUAAGGAGCAUAUGACUCAUAGCAUAUGAUAGAAAUAAGUCUCACGGUAGUCCAAGUCUCACAUCACACAAAGCAAAGAUAGCAGAUAAGAGCAAACCAAGUUCAAAGCAAACACAAUAAAGAUAAGCAAAGCUAAAGCAAAGCGCAAAUCCAGCUCCUAGACUCUCUCCCCCUUUGGCAAAAGACACCAAAAAGGGGCAUACCUAAGGACACACGUGGUCACUCCGCAUCCUCAUCAGCCCCAGACUCGUCCGUGGCAUCCGGAUCGUCCUGCUCCUCCUCAUUGUCCUCCUGAGACGCCUCCUCCUCUGCAUCAGACCACUGAUAACCUUGAGCCCGCAUCCAAUCAGACUCUGGAGUGAUGUCAUCCUCUGAGCCGUUGGAGAUAUCAACAUCAAGUGUCCUUAAGACACGCUUGUGCCUCUGAUGGUUCUCCUUCUGGGCCACAUGAGACUGAUACUGUCCCUUGGCCUGCCCAAGAUGGCAUAGUAGUUUCACUGCCCAAGAUGGCAUAGCACAAGAGCGGGACUGAGAAGCGGGGCCUCUGUCAGCAGCAGUGUCUGUGUCAGUGUCCAUGUGCUGAGACAAAGUGGAUGGGUUGGCCCAUUUGUCUUUGAUACGUAGCUUGAUAGGAUCAUGCACAAAGUAAUCAGCCUGAAUAGGGAACUCAUCGACCAGAUAGACGUCGUGCCACCUCUGGCGAAUAUAGGCAAACAAGUAGGGCCCGUAGAUGGGAACCUUGCGGUUCAUCAUGCAGUUCGAGAGCUCAUUGAACAUCAUGUGGGCAAUAUCGAGAGGGGAAGAUUCCUUAAUCUUAGCCUCCUCACAGAGCAGAAGCAUCUCAGCUAGAUGACCAUGCACCUCGUCAAAGUUGGCAAUGCGAGGAAAGAGAGUGUUGCGGAAGAUCCGAUGCAUGAUAUCGAGAUGCUUGGGGAGCACACCUUUCUUCACAUAGAGUUGUUGCAGCCUGUCCUUGGGGGUGGCAGUGGAUGAAGAUGGAGCAUGAGGACGCAACCCAAGAGGAGUUUCAUCUCCGUGAAAGUCGACCUUGAGAAGCUUCAUGAAUUCUGACCAGGAACCUGUCAUCUUCUGAGUACCAGUCAUCCAAGUCAUGGCGCGCUCGUCAUCGGUAACAAGUAUCUACUUGAUGCAUACAUUCCUUGCAAGGCUCGAACAUGUCUUCUCUUGGCUGAGCGGUACUACAGUGGUUAGCCACGGUACUACCGCUAGAGAUGUGUUACUACUACACUCAUGCAGUAGCAGCACCGACACGGUACUACCGCAUCCAGCACGACAAUAUUUUUCUGCUGCCGCUGGACGAACGGUACAACCACCCAACGAGCGGGAGUAAAAUUUAACAACCGCUGGCCAGACGAUACUACCGUGAUGACGUGCGGUACUACCGCGUUGUGGGGACCGCGAGGGGUUAUACCGUCCUCUCGUGGUUCUGUCUCUCUCUCCAGGUUGCAUCUUGGCAUGAAUCUCUUGAUUCGUUCUUGUGGUACUUGUUUCCUUUCUCAAAGCAUCCAAACGAUGAUGUCUUAUUGCUAGUUGGGAUGUCUUUGAUAUUCGUAUGUUGGAAGUUCAUAUUGUACAAUAAGAAAAUAUUAGGCCAUGUGCUAUGCUUCCAAGCAAAGACCAUAUUGAUAUAUAUUUAUAACUUCCUUUUGGAUAUCUUGUUUGUUCCUUCUUGUAACCAUUUCGUGUGUACAUCCUUCUUUGUGGAUAUAUAUCAUCACGAGUGUAUUCUACCUACAAUCUUUUACACAUGAGAGAAGUUACAUCUCUAAUUUAUAUCCUCUUUUCUUUCACGUCCACCGUUGCAUUUCGUUUUUCAGUUUUUGGUGGCUUCGUGAAAGGAUUUGUCUUGAGUGUGUAUCUUAUAUUCUUGCAUCUUGAUGCACUCUUUGGUGAAGAAGAUUAUUGGCUUUCCUAUGUGUCACGCCCAAGAUGCGACCCUAUCCUCAAUUUGGCACGAGGGCCUCGUCAGGGAUAGAAGCGCAUCUCAUCGUGUCGCAAGAAUGGAUAUCGUUACAAGUACAUGUACUGAAAAGAAGAGUUAUAUAUAUAGAAUUGGCUUACACUCACCACAAGCUACAUCAGAGUCACAUCAGUACAAUACAUAAUCAUCAUGAAUAAGAGCAGGGUCCGACUACGGACGAAAACAAACGAGAAAAGAAGAACGACGUCCAUCCUUGCUAUCCCAGGCUGCUGGCCUGGAACCCAUCCUAGAUCGAUGAAGAAGAAGAAGAAGAAGCAACUCCAAAUGAACAAUCAAUGCGCUCGCAUCAAGUAACCUCUAUCUGUACCUGCAACUGGUGUUGUAGUAAUCUGUGAGCCACAGGGGACUCAACAAUCUCAUUUCCAAAGGUAUCAAGACUAGCAAAGCUUAAUGGGUGAGGCAUGGUUAAGUGGUGAGGUUGCAGUAGCGGCUAAGUAUAUAUUUGGUGGCUAACUUACGAGUACAAGAAAUAAGAGGGGGGAAGAUCUACGCAUAGAGGACGUGAACUACGGUUGAUCAAAUGAAUGAUCCUAAACACCUACCUACGUCAGACAUAACCCCACCGUGACCUCGAUCGGAGAAGGAACUCACAAAAGAGACAGUCACGGCUACGCACACAGUUGGCAAGUUUUAAUUAAAUUAACUUCAAGUUAUCUAGAACCAGUGUUAAACAAAGCUUCCACGUUGCCACAUAACCGCGGGCACGGCUUUUCGAAAGAUUUGACCCUGCAGGGGUGCUCCCACUAGUCCAUCACAAAUUACCACAAGCCGCAUAGAAAUCCUCGAUCACGAAGCUCGCGAUCUCGUCGGACUCCUUAGUGGAAAACCUCAACUCUGAGAUUACCCAAAGCAUCACCAGAAUCCCGAUGCACAAGAUAUCUCGUAAAAGGUAAAACUAAUCCAGCAAGGCCACCCGACGUGUUGACGAUCCCGAUAGGAGCCGCGUAUCUCGUUCUCAGGACACGACGGAUAAGCGAAGCGUACGGUGGCCUGAUAGAAAUCUCCCGAGUUGCCCCGGGUUGGCCCCGCACGGUGCUCUGUUUUGGACCAGCACCAUCAGCACUGGGCCCCUGUAUUAUGUGAAAUUACUCCUCGGGUUCAUGACGCCCUAUGCUUUCAGUAUUAUCAAAGUUAUUAUGUUGGGCAAAUGUAGUACCAAUGUUGGGCCUUGCCAGACCAGCUUUAACCUAAAACGAAUUAUCAAGGGGGUCCCCAUAACAACCCCGAUCGUGUUAGGAGCGCUCAAUUAUGGAACAUAACACCGGUAGCCGAAACUAAGGGAGCAAAGGUGGAACAAAACACCAGGCUAGAAAGGCCGAGCCUUCCACCUUUUACCAAGUGUAUAGGUAAAUUAAAUUAAAUAACAAUUAAUAUGGUGAUAUAACAAGGAACCCAUGUUAUCACAUGGAAGCAACCACACCUGCAACUAGCAAUGCUAACAACAGGGUUAAGCAAGCAGUAACAUAGCCAAUCAGUAGUUUGCUAGGUCGAACUGGUAGAAGAUUUUCAUGGCAUUGUUGAGAGGCUGAUAUUUAACAUGUGGUAGGCAACGAGACAUAAAUGAUAGAAGUGGUAAAACUAGCAUGGCAAUGAUAGUAAUGGUAUCUCGGGAAAUGGUCAUCUUGCCUGAGAUCCCGCUUGGAAGAAGAACAAUUCCGUGAAGCACACGAACCAACGUAGUCGAACGGGUCCUCACAUUCCGCACGCUUGCGGAACUCUAUCAAGACGGAGCAAACCGGAAACAAACAUCAACACAGAUAUUCACCACACGAUGCACAAUAUGAUGCACAACCUACUAUGAUGCAUGAACAGAUCAAUGAUGCAAGGCAUGACAUGGCAAUUCACCUCACACAAACACUACACAUUAAGUGAAGCUCGGUAUCCAACGAGUUGCAUAUCGUCGAAACUCCACGUUUAAUUAUUUAGUUCACUCCUGAUUAUUUACACAGCAAUAUUUAAUUGUUGUUAACAUGGCAAGGGGUGAAGCGGUGAUUCUACAUGACAUCCUAGACGGUUAACACGCGGAACAUAGAACGGAGCUACGUACAAGAGACAUGCAACACAACAUAUAUGCCAUGAAUGUGGCAUGCAUGCGAGUUCACAACAAAACGGGCAAGAAGAUAAGAAGCAUGUGUCGCCACGGCGAGCGAAAGGGAACCAUGGCGGCAAAACGGAAACGAAGCCGCGGCAACGUUCCUAUCCCGAUACUCAACGAGAUGUCGGUGCCAACGAACUAGAAGCGUGUGCGGGAACGCCAAAUAAUGAUGGUGUGAUCCCGUUUAUCGGGUUCCCAUGUGUCGGGGUCACGCAAAAGAGGAACAACGUGCAACAGGCAAACAUAUGGCGCAAACAUACGAUACAUAUCAUACAACAUUUGCAUUUUGUUCACGACAACGUCCCAUCGAUAUACCUUCGAAGCGUGCAUAUCGGAGCGGUUCGAGUCAUAGCGGACGUCGUGGAAGUCGUGGUCGUCGUGGAAGUCGUUGUGCACGGUCUCGUCGACGGUAGUCAUACACUUGGCGUCGGUAGACGAACACGGGUCUUCGACGAAGAUCCAAUAUGCAGUCGGGCAAGGCAACAGCAGCAAGCAGCACUAGCAAUAAUCGUCGGCGACGGCAGCAAGCAAGCAACACACAUGCACAACAGCUAGCUACUAACAGCAACAACUACAAGCUACGACAACUAGCAACGGCAGCUAACAACCUACAACGGCUAAGCAACAGCAGCAACAUCUACAGCGGCGGCAGCACAAGCAACAUCUACAGCGGUGACUAGCAGCAGCACAAGCAAACAACAAGAGCAUCAGGCGGCGGGAAAGCACGGCAGCAGAACAAUGCAUCGGCAACAGCCAUGCAUAGCGGCAGCAAUCAGCAACUCAAGCUAGCAGUAACCGGCUGCACAAGCACAUGGCAGCAGCAAGAGUGAUAAACUACCUAGCAACAGCAAUCAACUAGCAGGCAAGCAAGCGACUAACAAGCAAAACAAGCAGCAGCUACAACUAGCAAGCUAGCACAACAGCUAGCUACGGCAUGCAUCGGCAGCAGCUACAUCAACAGGCAAGCAGCAGCUCGGCAGCAUAGUAGCAAGCAACAGCUUCGGCAGGAGGUGGCCGGGGUCCUGGAGGCUUGGCAGCGGCGCAUCGGGUGCUCGACACGGGGCACGCAAGCACGGCGGGCGUGCGGGACCUUGUGGCGGCGCUGGGGAGCUCCUGCGGCAGGGGAAGAGGGAACCGAGUUGGGGCAGGGAGGUGACCACGGCGGGCGGCGCGGGGAGCAGCGAGGCGGCGCGGCGCACCGGCUGCUGGUGGCGGGGGCGGACGAGGUCGGCAGCGCCAGUAGGCGAGGACGCGGGCGAGGGGCGAGGCCGCGGGCGAGGGGCGAGGCCGAGGCCGAGGGCGGCGCGAGCAUGGGUGAGGGAGCACGGGACCAAGGCGCGGGAGGCGGCGACCAUGGCGGCGGCACACCGGGACGGCGCGCGGCGGCUGUCGAGCAAAAAUAAAUAAAUAAAUACCUUUUGACUUCUUAAAAACAUACCCCAACUAUAAAAAAUAGAUUGGGCAUUUUUUUAACAAAUAAAAAUGAAACCUUUUUGAAGAAUAAAAUAAAACCUCUUUUAAAAAUAAAAUGAGUCUCUAGUUUUGAAAAUAAACAAAAGGAAAAAAAAUAAAGGAAACCCAAGGGUUGCCCCACAUUGAACAAAUGAUUUUAAAGGAAGACGAACUUGUUUAAUAGGGGUUAAAACUGAAAUCAAUCGCAGCCACAAAAAUAUAAUAGAGAGGAGACAAGGGUUUUACGUCCUCGGUGCAACAUGGUUUUGAAGUGGCUCUGUUGCACCCACUCUCAUCACUCCAACAAAACAACGCCACUCACAAGCAUUAACACCCAACAACACGGAGCUUUGUAAACGGUUACAUUUCCGUUUGCAUCAGUCUUCUUCUUGAAGAUCCAUUUAUUUUCUAUGGCUCGCCGUUCAUCGGGCNNNNNNNNNNNNNNNNNNNAGCGCUGGUAAGGUACACAUCAAUAACAUGUAUAUCACAUAUACCGUUAACGUUGCCGGCCUUCUUGUCCGCUAAGUAUUUGGGGCAGUUCCGCUUCCAGUGACCUUUUCCCUUGCAGUAGAAGCACUCAGUCUCAGGCUUGGGUCCGUUCUUUUUCUUCUUCCCAGCAUCUGGCUUACCGGGCGCGGCAACAGCUUUGCCGUCUUUCUUGAAGUUCUUCUUACCCCUGCCUUUCUUGAAACUAGUGGUCUUGUUGACCAUCAACACUUGAUGCUCCUUCUUGAUUUCUACUUCUGCAGACUUGAGCAUCGAGUACAACUCGGGAAUGGUUUUCUCCAUCCCUUGCAUGUUGUAGUUAAGCACAAAGCCUUUGUAGCUUGGUGGGAGAGACUGGAGGAUUCUGUCAAUGAUAGCAUCAUCCGGAAGUUCGACUCCAAGUGAAGUCAGACGACCGUGUAACCCAGACAUUUUGAGUAUGUGCUCACUGACAGAACUGUUCUCCUCCAUCUUACAGCUGAAGAACUUGUCGGAGACUUCAUAUCUCUCGACACGGGCAUGAGCUUGAAAUACUAGCUUCAGCUCUUGGAACAUCUCAUAUGCCCCGUGUUGCUCAAAACGUCUUUGGAGCCCCGUUUCUAAACUGUAUAACAUGCCACACCUGACCAGAGAGUAGUCAUCACUUCGCGCUUGCCAGACGUUUAGAACGUCCUGCGCUGCUGCAGGAGCGGGAGGGUCACCUAGCGGCGCAUUAAGGACAUAAGCCUUUUUAGCUGCUUCAAGGAUGAGCUUCAGGUUGCGAACCCAGUCCGCAUAGUUGCUACCAUCAUCUUUCAGCUUGUUUUUCUCUAGGAAUGCGUUGAAGUUGAGGUUGACGUUGGACAUCUACAAUAUUUAUAAAGACAACUUUUAGACUAAGUUCAUGACAAUUAAGUUCAUUUAAUCAAAUUAAGUAUGAACUCCCACUUAAAUCGACAUCCCUCUAGUCAUCUAAGUGAUACAUGAUCAAUGUUGACUAACCCGUGUCCGAUCAUCACGUGAGACGGACUAGUCACCAUGGUGAGCAACUUCAUGCUGAUCGUAUUCAACCAUACGACUCAUGUUCGACCUUUCGGUCUCUUGUAUUCGAGGUCAUGUCUGCACAUGCUAAGCUCGUCGAGUCAACCUAAGUGUUUUCUGUUGGGGAACGUCGCAUGGGAAACAAAAAUUUCCUACGUGCACGAAGACCUAUCAUGGUGAUGUCCAUCUACGAGAGGGGAUGAGUGAUCUACGUACCCUUGUAGAUCGCACAGCAGAAGCGUUAGAGAACGCGGUUGAUGUAGUGGAACGUCCUCACGUCCCUCGAUCCGCCCCGCGAACAAUCCCGCGAUCAGUCCCACGAUCUAGUACCGAACGGACGGCACCUCCGCGUUCAGCACACGUACAGCUCGACGAUGAUCUCGGCCUUCUUGAUCCAGCAAGAGAGACGGAGAGGUACAAGAGUUCUCCGGCAGCGUGACGGCGCUCCGGAGGUUGGUGAUGAUCUUGUCUCAGCAGGGCUUCGCCCGAGCUCCGCAGAAACACGAUCUAGAGGAAAAACUAUGGAGGUAUGUGGUCGGGCAGCCGUGAAAAAGUCAUCUCAAAUCUGCCCUAAAAGCCCCAUAUAUAUAGGAGGAGGGAGGGGGACCUUGCCUUGGGGUCCAAGGGAUCCCCAAGGGGUCGGCCGAGCCAGGGGGGAGGACUCUCCCCCCCAAACCGAGUCCUACUUGGUUUGGUGGGAGGGAGUCCUUCCCCCUUCCCACUUCUUCCUUUUUUUUUCUUUCCUUUGAUUUUUUCUCUCUUGGCGCAUAGGGGAUUGGUGGGCUGUCCCACCAGCCCACUAAGGGCGGGUGUGAACCCCCAAAUGCCUAUGGGCUUCCCCGGAGUGAGUUGCCCCCCUCCGGUGAACUCCCGGAACCCAUUCGUCAUUCCCGGUACAUUCCCGGUAACUCCGAAAACCUUCCGGUAAUCAAAUGAGGUCAUCCUAUAUAUCAAUCUUCAUUUCCGGACCAUUCCGGAAACCCUCGUGACGUCCGUGAUCUCAUCCGGGACUCCGAACAACAUUCGGUAACCAACCAUAUAACUCAAAUACGCAUAAAACAACGUCGAACCUUAAGUGUGCAGACCCUGCGGGUUCGAGAACUAUGUAGACAUGACCCGAGAGACUCCUCGGUCAAUAUCCAACAGCGGGACCUGGAUGCCCAUAUUGGAUCCUACAUAUUCUACGAAGAUCUUAUCGUUUGAACCUUAGUGCCAAGGAUUCGUAUAAUCCCGUAUGUCAUUCCCUUUGUCCUUCGGUAUGUUACUUGCCCGAGAUUCGAUCGUCAGUAUCCGUAUACCUAUUUCAAUCUCGUUUACCGGCAAGUCUCUUUACUCGUUCCGUAAUACAAGAUCCCGCAACUUACACUAAGUUACAUUGCUUGCAAGGCUUAUGUGUGAUGUUGUAUUACCGAGUGGGCCCCGAGAUACCUCUCCGUCACACGGAGUGACAAAUCCCAGUCUUGAUCCAUACUAACUCAACCAACACCUUCGGAGAUACCUGUAGAGCAUCUUUAUAGUCACCCAAUUACGUUGCGACGUUUGAUACACACAAAGCAUUCCUCCGGUGUCAGUGAGUUAUAUGAUCUCAUGGUCAUAGGAAUAAAUACUUGACACGCAGAAAACAGUAGCAACAAAAUGACACGAUCAACAUGCUACGUCUAUUAGUUUGGGUCUAGUCCAUCACGUGAUUCUCCCAAUGACGUGAUCCAGUUAUCAAGCAACAACACUUUGUUCAUAAUCAGAAGACACUGACUAUCAUUGAUCAACUGGCUAGCCAACUAGAGGCAUGCUAGGGACGGUGUUUUGUCUAUGUAUCCACACAUGUAAAUGAGUCUUCAUUCAAUACAAUUAUAGCAUGGAUAAUAAACUAUUAUCUUGAUACAAGAAUUAUAAUAAUAACUAUAUUUAUUAUUGCCUCUAGGGCAUAAUUCCAACAUUUUGCGUGUGUAAAUCUGGCUUACACCUGUUGUAUGCGAACGUUAGAAUCUAUCACACCCGAUCAUCACGUGGUGCUUCGAGACAACGAACCUUCGCAACGGUGCACACUUAGGGGAAUACGUUCUCGAAAUUUUAGGAGGGAUCAUCUUAUUAUGCUACCGUCGUUUUAAGCAAUAAGAUGUAAAACAUGAUAAACAUCACAAUGCAAUCAUAUAGUGACAUGAUAUGGCCAUUAUCAUCUUUGCUCAUUNNNNNNNNNNNNNNNNNNNNNNNNNNNNNCUAAGUGAUACAUGAUCCAUGUUGACUAACCCGUGUCCGAUCAUCACGUGAGACGGACUAGUCACCAUGGUGAGCAACUUCAUGCUGAUCAUAUUCAACCAUACGACUCAUGUUCGACCUUUCGGUCUCUUGUAUUCGAGGUCAUGUCUGUACAUGCUAAGCUCGUCGAGUCAACCUAAGUGUUUUGCGUGUGUAAAUCUGGCUUACACCCGUUGUAUGCGAACGUUANNNNNNNNNNNNNNNNNNNNNNNNNNNNNNNNNNNNNNNNNNNNNNNNNNNNNNNNNNNNNNNNNNNNNNNNNNNNNNNNNNNNNNNNNNNNNNNNNNNNNNNNNNNNNNNNNNNNNNNNNNNNNNNNNNNNNNNNNNNNNNNNNNNNNNNNNNNNNNNNNNNNNNNNNNNNNNNNNNNNNNNNNNNNNNNNNNNNNNNNNNNNNNNNNNNNNNNNNNNNNNNNNNNNNNNNNNNNNNNNNNNNNNNNNNNNNNNNNNNNNNNNNNNNNNNNNNNNNNNNNNNNNNNNNNNNNNNNNNNNNNNNNNNNNNNNNNNNNNNNNNNNNNNNNNNNNNNNNNNNNNNNNNNNNNNNNNNNNNNNNNNNNNNNNNNNNNNNNNNNNNNNNNNNNNNNNNNNNNNNNNNNNNNNNNNNNNNNNUAUCAUCUUUGCUCAUUCGAUCUCCAUCUUCAGGCAUCGCAUGAUCAUCAUCGUCACCGGCGUGACACCAUGAUCUCCAUCAUCAUGAUCUCCAUCAUCGUGUCUUCGUGAAGUCGUCACGCCAACUACUACUAUCACUACUACUAUGGCUAACCGUUAGCAAUGAAGUAAAAGUAGCAAGCACAUGGCGUUGCAUCUCAUACAAUUAAUUAAGACGACUCCUAUGGCUCCUGCCGGUUGUCAUACUCAUCGACAUGCAAGUCGUGAAACCUAUUACAAUAACAUGAUCAUCUCAUACAUCAUACAUGCAACAUCACAACUNNNNNNNNNNNNNNNNNNNNNNNNNNNNNNNNNNNNNNNNNNNNNNNNNNNNNNNNNNNNNNNNNNNNNNNNNNNNNNNNNNNNNNNNNNNNNNNNNNNNNNNNNNNNNNNNNNNNNNNNNNNNNNNNNNNNNNNNNNNNNNNNNNNNNNNNNNNNNNNNNNNNNNNNNNNNNNNNNNNNNNNNNNNNNNNNNNNNNNNNNNNNNNNNNNNNNNNNNNNNNNNNNNNNNNNNNNNNNNNNNNNNNNNNNNNNNNNNNNNNNNNNNNNNNNNNNNNNNNNNNNNNNNNNNNNNNNNNNNNNNNNNNNNNNNNNNNNNNNNNNNNNNNNNNNNNNNNNNNNNNNNNNNNNNNNNNNNNNNNNNNNNNNNNNNNNNNNNNNNNNNNNNNNNNNNNNNNNNNNUGAUUUGGGUUUCUAGCAAGAACGCCUUCUUACCUACGUGACAGCCACAACGAUGAUAUGCCAAAGCUAUUUACCCUUCAUAAGGACCCUUUUCAUCAAAUCCAAUCCGACUAGAGUAGGAGAGACAGACACCCGCUAGCCACCUUUAUGCACGAUGUGCAUGUCUGUCGGUGGAACCAGUCUCACGUAAGCGUACGUGUAAGGUCGGUCCGGGCCGCUUCAUCCCACAAUACCGCCGGCAAAGAAUAAGACUAGUAACGGCAAGCAAAUUGACAAACCAUCGCCCACAACUUUUGUGUUCUACUCGUGCAUAGAAUCUACGCAUAGAAAACCUGGCUCUGAUGCCACUGUUGGGUAACGUAGCAUAAAUUCAAAAAAUUUCCUAGGCCUGUUCAGAUCUUCCUAUGGAGAGACCAGCAACGAGAGAGGGGUAAGAGCAUCUUCAUACCUUUGAAGAUCGCUAAGCGGAAGCGUUUGCUAGAACGCGGUUGAUGGAGUCGUACUCGCGGUGAUUCCGAUCUAGUGCCGAACAACGGCACCUCCGCGUUCAACACACGUGCAGCCCGGUGACGUCUCCCGCACCUUGAUCCAGCAAGGAGGAGGGAGAGGUUGGGGAAGAAGACCAGCAACACGACGGCGUGGUGUUGGUGGAGAGACGAGGUCUCCCGACAGGGCUUCGCCAAGCGCCGGCAGAGAGGAGGAGGAAGAAGUGCACGGCUGCGCCGAGGGAGAGGGAAAACUGUGUCCUCCAAAGGCCAAAAGUGCCCACUAUAUAUAGGGGAAGGGGAGAGGGGGUGCCACCCCUAGGGUUCCCACCCUAGGGGGUGNNNNNNNNNNNNNNNNNNNNNNNNNNNNNNNNNNNNNNNNNNNNNNNNNNNNNNNNNNNNNNNNNNNNNNNNNNNNNNNNNNNNNNNNNNNNNNNNNNNNNNNNNNNNNNNNNNNNNNNNNNNNNNNNNNNNNNNNNNNNNNNNNNNNNNNNNNNNNNNNNNNNNNNNNNNNNNNNNNNNNNNNNNNNNNNNNNNNNNNNNNNNNNNNNNNNNNNNNNNNNNNNNNNNNNNNNNNNNNNNNNNNNNNNNNNNNNNNNNNNNNNNNNNNNNNNNNNNNNNNNNNNNNNNNNNNNNNNNNNNNNNNNNNNNNNNNNNNNNNNNNNNNNNNNNNNNNNNNNNNNNNNNNNNNNNNNNNNNNNNNNNNNNNNNNNNNNNNNNNNNNNNNNCACCAGCCCAACUAGGGGCUGGUUCCCACCCCCACUUAGCCCAUCUUACCUCUUGGGGUCGCAGCCCCCCUUCGGUGGUCCCCCGGGACCACCGGGGUGGUCCCGGUGGUCCUGGUACGUUACCGGUGAUGCCCGAAACACUUCCGGUNNNNNNNNNNNNNNNNNNNNNNNNNNNNNNNNNNNNNNNNNNNNNNNNNNNNNNNNNNNNNNNNNNNNNNNNNNNNNNNNNNNNNNNNNNNNNNNNNNNNNNNNNNNNNNNNNNNNNNNNNNNNNNNNNNNNNNNNNNNNNNNNNNNNNNNNNNNNNNNNNNNNNNNNNNNNNNNNNNNNNNNNNNNNNNNNNNNNNNNNNNNNNNNNNNNNNNNNNNNNNNNNNNNNNNNNNNNNNNNNNNNNNNNNNNNNNNNNNNNNNNNNNNNNNNNNNNNNNNNNNNNNNNNNNNNNNNNNNNNNNNNNNNNNNNNNNNNNNNNNNNNNNNNNNNNNNNNNNNNNNNNNNNNNNNNNNNNNNNNNNNNNNNNNNNNNNNNNNNNNNNNNNNNNNCGUCCUGGAUCUCAUCCGGGACUCCGAACAACUUUCGGUAAUCUCGUAUAACAAUUCCCUAUAACCCUAGCGUCAUCGAACCUUAAGUGUGUAGACCCUACGGGUUCGGGAGACAGGCAGACAUGACCGAGACACCUCUCUGGCCAAUAACCAUCAGCGGGGUCUGGAUACCCAUGGUGGCUCCCACUAGCUCCACGAUGAUCUCAUCGGAUGAACCACGAUGUCAAGGAUUCAAUCAAUCCCGUAUACGAUUCCCUUUGUCUGUCGGUAUAGAACUUGCCCGAGAUUCGAUCGUCGGUAUACCUAUACCUUGUUCAAUCUCGUUACCGGUAAGUCUCUUUACUCGUUCCGUAGCACGUCAUCGUGUGACUAACUCCUUAGUCACAUUGAGCUCAUGAUGAUGUUCUACCGAGUGGGCCCAGAGAUACCUCUCCGUCACACGGAGUGACAAAUCCCGAUCUCGAUUCGUGCCAACCCAACAGACACUUUCGGAGGUACCCGCAGUGCACCUUUAUAGUCACCCAGUUACGUUGUGACGUUUGAUACACCCAAAGCACUCCUACGGUAUCCGGGAGUUGCACAAUCUCACGGUCGAAGGAAAAGAUACUUGACAUUAGAAAAGCAUUAGCAUACGAACAAUACGAUCUAGUGCUAGGCUUAGGAUUGGGUCUUGUCCACCACAUCAUUCUCCCAAUGAUGUGAUCCCGUUAUCAAUGACAUCCAAUGUCCAUGAUCAGGAAANAGGAAAUAUGAUAAUAAUCAUUUUAUUAUUGCCUCUAGGGCAUAUUUCCAACAAUCUCUGCAGGGCAACUAUCACCUCGGGAGGAUGGCGGAGCUUUUGGACGGAGAUGGAUCCUAGUGCGUGAACCCCCUCCGUCGUUACUUCCUCCCGGUAGAUAUCGACGUCAUCACAAGCAUACGCACCACGCCUCGCGUCACUAACGACAUUAUUGCAUGGGCGCCAGAGAGGAACGAUAUCUUCAUCGGUCUGUCUAUCGCCUAGCCAUGGACGAGCGAGAGCGUCCACUGGCUUCCGCUAUGAGUAGGGCACCGGAUGGUAGUCGCACCAUCUAGAAGAUCAUGUGGGGGUGCACUGGUCCCCCAAAGGUAUGCGUGUUCACUUGGAGAAUUGUCGCCAACUCACUUGCUACUUGGGCCAAUAAAGCAUCAUGACACCUCGAGCCUACUGUCAUAUGCCCUCUUCGUGGUAUGGAACGUGAGGACGGAUUUCAUGCGAUUUGCAGAUGCCCUUUGGCAAGAGAGCUCUACGAGUUAUGGCCUUGGACUGGAAUAUCUCCAAGGUGGACUCCAUCCACAACACAUGUCCAGAGUGUGUCUUCACACCGCUGGAUCCCUUGGACGAUAUAGCAAGAGUGUUAGAGCAUAUCUCUCCAUAUGUGGUUUUGGUAAUUGAUGACAAUUCAUAUGGACUAGUGGUUGCCUUAAGUUAUAUUUAUAGGAUUUGUCCAUGGGAACUUCUUGAAGUCCAUCUGUUGGGUUCAAGGAGUUUAUAUUAUGACCAAGGUGGUAUUCAAGGUAUUAUCCAAAGAAUGGUCAUAGAGACACAAGGUUGAUCAAGAUCGUCAGACAAAGAGUAAAUCAAGAUGAUCAACACACAAAGCGUACAAGACGUACCGACAGGGGUCAAGUGAUUCCAUGGUAUGGUAAGCAUUGUCCAUUAUGUGUUUGUGUACUAACCCAUGGUCUUCGUGAGAGUUAUAUGUGGUGUUAGGUGUGUUUUCAUGGAUUUGCGUCAAGAAGAAUAUCUCAUACAACCCAUGGAGGAUGAUGUCAAGUGGUGAUCGUCAUCAAGAUUGUGGUGUGCAAGUUCAAGUGGAUCAUCACGAAGAUAUCAUGCUUGAAGCUUGCCGUCCAUUGUGGUGGCAAUGGACUUGUGAAGAUAUGUAGUGCCCCAAGUGUAAAGCUCUCCCUUUUUGUAACCUUCCAUGUGGGACCACCUUGUCUUUGUCAUGAGAGCUAUCUAUGCAUGUAUGAUUUCAUGUGUCACCUUGUAUUUCUUCUUUUGCAUGCAUGCAUCCUUGCCAUACCUUAUGAUUCUAUGUCAUGUUAUGAUUGCAUGUGAUCUUGCUAGUUGUGAUUUAGUGAUCUUGUGAUUUCAUGUGUUGAUGCACAUGUGAGGAUGUGGUGUGAAGUGGUGGAGAGUGGUGCUUGACAUUAUUUUCAAACCCCCCUUGUUAGUUUCAAACUUUUCUCUCUUUUAUUCCAAGCUCAAAAUUUCACUUGCUCUUUACCUGGUUUUAAAAUGUCCUCUGUUUGCUGAAUAUUGCGGGUAUAUUGUUGUGCAAGAUUUGGUGUUUUGUUAGGUGUUCUAAAGGUGCAAUAAACCACAAAACAGCUAUUAUAAUUGUUGUUUUGUAUUUAUUUAAUUGCCCCAUAAAAAUUCCUUUUGCAUUUUAUUUAAAUAGCUUAUGUAUUUUCAGGUCCAGGGGCAUUUUUGUUUUGAUUUUAUAAUCAGUAGAUAGUCCUGUGGGCCUUUUCCUUUCUCUGUAAUUAAUCUAAUUAGAUAAUAACAUGUUGAGGGUUGUUUUCUCUAUUUUUUUCACUGGUGGGCUUCCUCCCACUCAGAGAGGCCCAGCGCCUCCUCUCCCCCUCGCGACAGCAGCCCAUCCCACGUCCCUCUUCCUCCUCCAUCUACGUCACUGUGUACGACUCCACCUCCUCCACCGAUUCUCCAUGGAUCGAUCAUGUGGCUCAAGCGCCUCCCCCGAGGUAAUAUAAGGUGGAGGGAACCUUCCACCUUCCCUAGGGUUCCAUCUCCUUCCCCCAGCGCCGCCGCCACCUCCCUCCUUUUCUCCUCCCUCUCCCUGGUAAGUUCUCUGUAGAGUAGGAGCAGAGACACAGAGAACCCCUCGCCGCCGUCUACCCCGCCUUCUCCGUCGAGCAGCGCCGGCGGCCAUGUCCAGGGACACGGGGACGGUGCCCGCGCCCCAUUUUCGUCCUCGGUGAGGACGAGGGACGUCUACAACGCUGGCCAGGAGCACGUCAAAGCGUCUGCUCCGAUGAUCUGCUUCGUCUACCUCCGUUCGACAUCAACCUGCAGUAGGGCCUUCUCCCGCGCGCCUCCCUCCUCUCCGGCCGGCCUCCUCCACCGAGCGGCUCCUCUUUCCUCCCCGAGGUGAGCCGGUCCUCUUCCUCCCUUCUCCCUCGUAGAGAUUCGGCGAUCUUGGUGGUAGCCGUCUUUGUCCCAAGCUAUAGCAGCAUAAGUGGCGGUGGGAGUUAUCCAGUGUAGACUGAUGGUGUUGCAGUAGUGGUGCGCGCCCGCGGUGUGUGGGUAGCCGGCGUGCAGUAUCAGGGGUGUUUCCCUCUCUUCGUGCAGCAACAACAGCAGUUGAGAGCACGACGACCUCUCUGUCGUCGGCUCGCUGUGCAGAGCCGAGCUGGGCGUCGUAGUAGUUUACUUGUUUCAGGCCUCCCCCUCUGUCAGACGUCGUAGCAUAGCGCAGUGGCAAGUGUGUGGGGUUGUUCUCGUGAGAUCCAGGGUUCGAGUCCCAGAGGCAACAAGCCCCCCUUUUUGUUGAUUUUGUUUGCCCAGUAGCACAGUAGAUGCACGUAGUAACCUACCUUGCUCGGUCCUCUCUGUUCUGUCCAGGUAAUGAUAGUAGCAGAGUGGUAUGAGCUACACGUGGUGUCCACGGGAUCUGGGGUUCGAUCCCCCCCCCCCAAACCUUUUAUUUAUUUAUGUCUUUUCCUUUGCUGUUUUGUUUUAAUCACUUCCUUACUUGCAUGUGGUAGGCUUGCACCUUGUGGUAUUUUUUUUCUCCCCUCAAACAACAUGUUGUUCAUAUUGUUUUCGCCAGUGAUGUGAAUAGAUGAUGGUGUAGGCUUGAGAGCAUGUAUGUAGCGUUCAUGUGUGUUAGGGUAGAUGUGUAGAUUUAUGUGUGUGUGAGUGAGUGCUUGAGGGUGAGUGUGUGUGCAAGUGUGUGUGUGACCCUACACACAUGCUCGUGCAAUUGCACAAGCCCUUGAGUUUAAGCUUUGUGUGAUAGUAGUUUUUUGCAUGUGUGUGUGUCUCCCCACACACUUAUGCAUACACACCCAUGUGAGUAUGUAUGUGUAGGUGAGUGAGUGUGUGUGCUUGUUCUUGCUAAAUUGUGGUGUGAGUGGGUGUGCCCAAGAGCUUGGUGUUGGACUCAUGCCACCAUUGGCCUUGUGAUAGGGUGCAAUGGAGCAUGUGGGAGUUGUUCUAGUAAUUUUGCACAUGUGAUGAUGCACUAAUCUCUAUAGGUGAUUCUAUGUAGAUUUUCUUUUCUAGUUUGUGUUCACUUGCUCCAAUUAAGUGCCCACAAAUUAUAUAUGUUUUUGGGGUACAAUAUCCCAAGGAAUCCAGUGGUGAAGUUACUUUUUCCAUUGGGAAACUUUAAGGACUUGACAUAUUCAGUUUUGUUGCAAGUUUGAUCUUUGAUUCCAUGGAAUAGGUGGAGCCCAAGGGCAUGAGUUUUUGUGUGAUAGUAGUAGGGGUUUUUCUCUACACUAUAGUGGUGUCAAUUAUCACUUGGUGUAAUGUGUGUGCAAACUAUGCUUAGACAAAGUGGGCAUGUGGCUGAAAAAUUCCAGAUUAGUGAAAUCUGAAAUUUCACUAAGUCUGGGAUUCUGGAAACAUUUUCUUCUCUUAUAGAUGAGGAUGGGCUGGUCAUUCUGUUGAGAACUAGCCUUAGUUCAGUGCUAGGAUUUUGAACCUGGUAUGUUUGCGAAGCUUCCUGUCAAAUUUUAAAUCAUUUGGAUUCCAGGAGGUUGUGUUUUGAUUGCUGUCAAAAAGCUUCAGAACAGAGACAGAAACUCAGGUGCAGGAAUUUUCACUAAGUCCCUGAGAUCUGAUGGUUUGGGGAAAGUUUGUGUCCUUGUAUCUUCUAGAGUUUGAUUCCUUUUUCUGUGAUUCUUGCUGGUGCUUGUAUUGUUCUUGGUUGUCAACAGCCACAUAUAUUAUUUGUCAUGUUUGGAGACCUGUAGCUAUGUUGCAUGUAGCUCCCAAAGAGCUAAGACGCAGAUUAUGGCAGAUUAUGUAGUUUUGUCAUUUUGGUCAAUGUGUGUGCUUAGUUGAUGUUGUGGUGUUCUUCCUUGCUCCAAUACAUUCAUGUUGGGUUGUUACAUGUCUUGGAAACCUGGGAAUACCAGAUUUGUGCCAUUUGAGUGUGUGGUGUUGAUUCUUCCACGUAGAGCUUCAUAUCUUGUUUCGUUGAUUCCCGUUGAUCCGUAGCUCCGUUUGCAAUGUUUUUUAUAUGGUUUUGCACCGUUUUCACGAGCCGCAUCUGUUCAUGUCAUUCUCAUGCAUGUCAAAUAGCUUGGUGUACAGUUCUGUCCAGAAACUUGCAGUAGUUUAUUUUGCUUGUGCUAGUGAUAGAAAUAGUGGUGCAUGCUCAAUUUUCAUCUCAUGCAUCAUGUGAUUGUUGCAUAUUGUGGUGCUGCUGUUCAUUGGCUGUUAUUCUCAUGUUGGGUAGCACCGGGAUCGGAGAACGAAUACGUGGAGUCAGGAGAGUACGUGCAGGACGAACCAGAACCAUUCCAAGCUGAGGAUAUCACAGGCAAGAUGAUAAGACCUUGAUUCCAUCUCUAGACUUGUUAUGUUAGUUUCGUUUCCAUGUCAUAUUGCUCGCUGCCUACCACUGAAUUAAAUUGCCUCUUGAAAUGCCAUGAGCCCAAACACCGUUCUCCUUCCUAGCAAACUUGUGUGGCUAAGUAGGCUUGCUCAUCUACUAAUGUUAGCAUUGCUAGUUGCAGGUGUUUUUGACUCAUGUGAUAACAUGAGCUUGAUAUCAUUACCUUAAAUGCUGUUAUUUAAUUAAUGCACCUAUAUACUUGGUAAAUGACGGGAGGUCUAGCCUUUUGCCGGGUGCUUUGUUCCGUUAUUGCCGCCUUAGUUACCGGUUACCGGUGUUUGAUUCCAUAAUGAUCGCUCCUAACACGUUCGGGGUUGUUAUGGGGACCCCCUUGAUAAAUCACGUAGUGUUAAGGCUUGUCCGGCAGGACCCAACUUUGGUUUUAAUCUGCUAAUCACAUAAUAAUCUGCAUAGGGAAUAGCUACCCCGAGGAAUUUAAUCAACAACCCGGGCCAGUGCUCCUCAUGAGUGUUGCCCCACCUGAGCGAUGUCCGGGGCCCCACUGGUCACCCAAAGGUUUAGCCAUCCCGACGUCUAGCUCAUCUGUCGUGUCCUGAGACUGAGAUACGCGGCUCUUAUCAGGGUCGUCGACACGACGGGAGGUCAUGCUAGCCUUGUCUUACCUUAGCGGUAUAUCUUGCGUAUAGGAAUCCCAGUGAAGCUUUGGUUUCCCCCAGAGUUGAGGUUUUCCUCUAAGGAAUCCGACGAGAUCAGGAGAUUCGUGAUAGAGGAUGCCUUUGCGGCAUGUGUUCGUUUGUGAUGGACUAGUUGGAGCACCCCUGCAGGGUUUAAUCUUUCGGAAAGCCGUGCCCGCGGUUAUGUGGCAACUUGGAAUUUUUUGUUAACAUCCGGUAUUAGAGAAUUUAAACAUAAACUAAUAAAACUGCCAACUGUGUGCGUAACCGUGACUGUCCCUUCAAAGAUCUCUCUUCGAUCGGGAACACGGUGGGGUUAUGAAUGCCGUAGGUAGGUGUUCAGGAUCACUUAGUGAUCAAGUAAUCCCGACCGCUAGCGUAGACCACCUUUACUUCUUCUUUGCGUAAGUUAGCCACUUAAUCAAGCAUAGGAUGUUGCAGCCUGAUACACUUCACCCGUACCCUACCUAAUAACAUGACUAGUUCUGGCACCAAGGUCUUAGAUUGCUGAGUCCCCGUGGCUCACGGAUUCCUCCAAAACUCCCAGCAGGUACAGGUACCCCAGAGACAGAUGAUCCCGACGGCACCCAGCUGGCGUGGCAGUACGACGAGGAGACAGACUGCCUCUACGUGAACUAUCCAGAGGACUGAGGCGUGGUCGUGAUUGUGGGCCUGCAGCAGGGUAGCAUAGCAUUUUCCAUGUUUUGUAGUCCGUAGCGGAACUACCUUGUUUGUAUAUGUGUUGUACUCUGAGUUAUUAAUAAGAAGACAGUUGAAUCCCGAAUUGUCUACUUUUAUUAUUAUUUGUGCUAUGUUACUUGCUUGCGAAACGCUUAGGCCCUGUUUGGAACCAUCCAGAUUAUAUAAUCUGGUUUUUAUAAUCUAUUGUAUUUCCAAACAGGACAAUUUAUAUUGUAGAUUUUAUAAACUAGAUGACCAUAUUAUUAUAAUCUCAUAAUCUCCUCUAUCCCAGCUAAAAUGAGAUUAUGGAUUACAAAUGACGUGUUAUCCUUGUAAACUUCAAAAGAAUUACGCAGUGCCACCACCACUUUCCUAGUUUUCCUUGUAAACUGAGGGCAAACAUGUCAUUGUACAAUUUAAAACUGGUUUACAGUUUAUAUAAUCUGGCCUCCAAACAUGCCAACCUAGAUUAUUUUUAUAAACCAGAUUAUAUAAUCUAUGUUCAUAAUCUAGAUUAUUAUAAUCUAUUAUGGCUCCAAACAGGACCUUAGAUGCGCUUCUUUCCUAUUCGGGGGCCUCGACCCCCAGAUCGGAAAGGGCCGCAUCUUGGUCAUUACAAGAUAUGUUGAAGAGCGGCUCACCCAUAGUGUGCAUGGGGGAGCAAUCAACUAGUCUUCAUCAAGCCAAUGCAAUCAAGAAAGGUGGUCCAUCUUGAGGAAGCCAAGAUCAUCGUCAUCUAGCUCAAGAGGACGAGGUGCAAGGUACAGGUUUGCCCUUGAUAGGUUUUCUGUUUUAGGAUAGAUUGUCGUAUUGUCAAGGGGGGGCUUUCAAGUGAGUAGCUUGGUCAUAUAGUUCGUUGAGAGCUCAAACCAUUUGCAUCCUUGCAUCAUACUUCUUGGUUCUUGUUUGGUGUUUCUCUUUGCGAGUUUUAGAGCUUAUGGUCAUCUUCAUGACAAGCUCGAGUUCAUGAAAAUGGAGUCCAUAUGCAUCUUCUGUGAUGUUUUCGCUGUUGGGAGUUUGUACCGGUCUUAUUCGAGGAAGGGUUCUCACCAUUUUAUUAUGGGCCUUUUCUCACUUGAUUCUUAUUGAUAUUUCUAUCAAGAUUGUGUUAGCCCAUGUCGGUAGCUUUCCAACAAACUUGGUUUCGUUGAAUUUGGAGUGUGUAUGCGAAAGUUAAGGCAGUUUCUGUGGUGAGCACUAGUACCGCUUGUGCCUAGCGGUAGUACCGCUCCGUCGGACUUUAUUUGCACAUCCUUUUUGCCUCGGCAUGGCUGGUGAACCUACCGAGCGGUAGUACCGCUCCCACGAAUGGUAUUACCGCUCCAUCGGACUUUAUUUGCGCAUCCUUUUUGCCUUAGCGUGGCUGGUGAACCUACCGAGCAGUAGUACCGCUCCCAUGAGCGGUAGUACCGCUGUGUGCGGGCUGUGAAGCAUAACGAUUGGUUCUUUUCCCACCUAUAAAAGGGGGUCUUCUUCCCCAUUGAACCUUAUCUCUUUAGCUCGUGUUCUUCCCCAUUGUUGACCUUCUUCGAGCUUGUUAACUCUCAAUCCCUCCAAUAAUUCUUGCUAGUUCUUGAGGGAAAAGAGAGAGGAGAUCUAGAUCCUCAUUUCCACCAACCGCUUUCUCCUCUAAGUGAGGGGAACCCCUUGGGUCUAGAUCUUGGAGUUCUUCGUGUUCUUCUUCGUUCUUCCUCUCAUUUUUCUCCCUACCAUUAGUUGCUUUGGUGGGAUUUGGGAGAGAUGGACUUGGGCACUCCGUGUGCCCUUGCCAUUGCAUUUGGUGCAUCGGUUUGAGUUCUCCACGGUGAUACAUGGAAGUGAGAAGUUGAGAAGUUUAUGACCCUUGGGUACUUGGUACCCCUAGAAGCUUGGUGAUGCCUCGGAGCUCAAUCAUUGUGGUGUAAAGCUCCGGGCAAGCGUCGGGGUCUCCAAUUAAGUUGUGGAGAUUGCCCCGAGCAUUUGUGGUCACGUCGAAGCCAUAUGCCAUUGUGGUGAAGCUUCGUGGUGUUGUUGGAAGCCUCCAAUUAAGUUGUGGAGAUUGCCCCAACCUUGUUUGUACGGGUUCGGUGACCGCCCUCAAGGGUCCCUUAGUGAAAUCACGGCAUCUUGCAUUGUGCGAGGGCGUGAGGAGAUUACGGUGGCCUUAGUGGCAUCUUGGGGAGCAUUGUGCCUCCACACCGCUCCAAUGGAGAUUAGCAUCCGCAAGGGUGUGAACUUCGGGAUACAUCAUCGUCUCCACGUGCCUCGGUUAUCUCUGACCCGAACCCUUUACUUAUGUACUUUAUUUUGUGAUACCCAUAUUGUUUCUUGUCAUAUAUCUUGCUAUCACUUAGUUGUUUAUCUUGCUUAACAUAAGUUGUUGAUGCACAUAGUUGAGCCUAGUUGUUCUAGGUUUUGUGCUUGAUAAAUUAAACGUUAGUUUUAUUCCGCAUUUGUUCAAGCCUAAACCGUAAUUAUUUUAAAGCGCCUAUUCACCCCCCCCCUCUCCCCUGCUAGGCGACAUCCACAUCCUUUCAAAAAGACUGGUGGUGCUCAUGACCAUGUGGCGAAUAUGGCAUGUCCGCAACGAGUUACACACGACUAGGAGCCACCCCUUGUUGAAGCCUCGAGACGAUUUCUGUAUGGGUACAUCAACUUGCUUUUGUGCAUACAACAACAUCCUAAAGGCGACCUAGAUGCUGAUCUCAUCUUCACCACACGCCAAAGUGUGCACGGGGGCUAGUGUGCGCGCGAGCUGGGUCCUUCCUAAACCGCGUUGGGCAAAGCUAAAUACGAACGGGAGUUACAUCACAGGGUGCGGCACGCGGGAGGUAUGAUCAUGCGGGGUGACCGAGAUGAGAACAUCUAUAGCACAUGCAAAGAGAUUCGCAUGUGCGAUAAUUCCUUAGAGGCGGAGUUUGGUCGAGAUGGAUAUCAUGGAGGCGGUGGCCAUGAUCACGGGGCGUAAGCAGGGUAGAUCUACACAUCGUGCAUUGGUAGAGGAGAUUCGCAGGCUGGUUAGUCUCGCCACUAGGGAGAUCUCCUUUACCCAGUGUGCAUUGGUAGAGGACAUGUUGAGUAAAUAGGCAAUUUUCCGAGCAUAUUAAUCCACGAGAUAAUGACUAGCAUGGCAUUGACUAGACUGAUGAUAUAUUGAUCAUGAACUAACCUAGCACAUACUACGCAUAUAGUCGAUACAUCUAUGUAGGCAAGUAGUACUGCUAGGAUAAAUAAAAACAUGAAGAUAAACGAGUCAUACCCUCCAAUAGGCCAGUUGGCCGUAGCAGCAGCGUUGGCGUUGGACGCAGCCAUAGCAGCAGCAGCAGCAUCCUCUGUCCUCUUCUUCUCAGCUUCAAGGGCGAGACGAUCGGCCUCGGAUGGUGAAGACAUGGCGAUGACGAGAACGACGCGGAUGUAGACGAAGCAGACGGACGGAGGCGAGCAGUCGCGUGAUCGCUCUCCAAAAACCUAAUCGCCCCUCUCCCGUACAGGAACCAGAGAGGCGGGGUUUCGGAGGCAUGCUCUCCCGUCGACCUGUACGCGGUAAACGGGACGGAGUCGCCGGCGGGAGCAGCAGUCAUGGAACGAACGCGUGAGGCAGACGUGAUCUGAUUCUCAUGACGGCUAGGAUAGGCGUUAGCCUGCUUAUAAAAGGCGGCUGAGCGGAGAGACGUGGGCCGAACCCACGUCCGAGUCGGUAACAGCCCACGAUCCGACGUCUCGGAUCGUGCCGUGUCCGUUACGUAUUCUCCGUUCCUGACCGACAAAAAUAAGCGCGUAGGUAUGAACUCGGCUCAUUCCCGCAACCCGUGGCGGGACGCGGCGAGGCGGACGGCGGAGGAGGAGUGCGCGAGGGCACCUUCUCUUCUCACUCUCCAAUAGCAUGUGGAAGAGAGACCCUUAUAAAAAGGUCCAACUUCUCCUUCACUAGCGGGGUGGGACUAAACUUUCCACCACCACCUUGUCAUGUCACCAUCUACAUGGGCCCUUGAAGAUUUUUCUGAAAUUCUUUUAUGGGUAGUCUCGCCACUACGGAGAUCUCCUUUACCGAGUGUACACGCUCGUAGAACAUUGUAAGCCAUGAGCUGGCCGCGUAUGACCGUAGUACUCUGUACACAGCACAGCAGUAUGGCUAGCUGUCGGAAUGGAUUUUGUUGUAAAUGUGGCUACGGCUGAGAAGCUCCCAUUAGUUAAUGAAGAAAUUCUUUUUCGCCAAAAAAAAUGGUAAUGGAAAAUUGGAAAUGUGAGCGAUGUAGGGCGUGUUUGGUUGCCUGUAUUGCAUCUGGCUCGCACCCACCAUGCAAAUAUUAGAUUGUUUGGUAUGCUGUAUGUGUAGUUGGACCUGGCCCGACAGAUGCAAAAAACGCCUCCGGGCCAGGCUGCGGGGAAACGCAAGUUCGGGCCGUUUCCGCGAGCCUGCACCCGCGCGUGCAGCGACCCGCCCGACGCCUCGCUCUCGCCUGGAGGAUAGGGUUCCCUCCCGACGCCUCGCUCUCACGCCGCGCCGCUCUCGUCCCCGCGCCGCGCCGCGCUCNCCCGCCCCGGCGAGCCGCUGUCCUCCCCCGCCCCGGCAACCCACUCUCCUCCCCCACAGGUUGGUUCUCCUCCUCCCUCAAUCCCUCUCGGAUCUGAUAAGUACGCUGCCGCCAGAAACGCGAGGGAGGGGAGGUCCUGGCCAUGGCCGUCGUGGCCAUGGGAGCUCCCUGGUUCUGAUGUAAAUAUUCUAUAUAGAUGGAUGAGGCUGCUCCCUCCCUGGUUACCCCUGUUUAAAUUUUUUGCACAUAUUCUAUUUUGUUUUGAUGUAAAUAUUAUCAGUGUUAACUUAUCAGUAUUAAAUCUGUGCUACAUUUAUAUAGAUGGAUGACAACAGCAAGACUCGAGAUACGCUGAUAGUGCAAGCUGCUGGUUUGGUUGCUGUUUUGUGUGCAUAUAUGGCCACUAUAACUACAAGGGCUAGAAUUAGAAAUUAUCGUGCUCCAGUCCGUUAUGUUAUGCUUGAGAGAGACAUAGCUAGGAAAGGUGGCACCAUUUUAAUUCUUUUANNNNNNNNNNNNNNNNNNNNNNNNNNNNNNNNNNNNNNNNNNNNNNNNNNNNNNNNNNNNNNNNNNNNNNNNNNNNNNNNNNNNNNNNNNNNNNNNNNNNNNNNNNNNNNNNNNNNNNNNNNNNNNNNNNNNNNNNNNNNNNNNNNNNNNNNNNNNNNNNNNNNNNNNNNNNNNNNNNNNNNNNNNNNNNNNNNNNNNNNNNNNNNNNNNNNNNNNNNNNNNNNNNNNNNNNNNNNNNNNNNNNNNNNNNNNNNNNNNNNNNNNNNNNNNNNNNNNNNNNNNNNNNNNNNNNNNNNNNNNNNNNNNCCAUUUUAAUUCUUUUAUGUUUCAGCUCCAUUUUAAUUCUUUUAUGUCACUAUUUCAGCUCCAUUUUAAUUCUUUUAUGUCACUAUUUCAGCUCCAUUUUAAAUCUUUUAUGUCACUAUUUCAGCUCCAUUUUAAAUACUUUAUAUACUCUUACGUAAUCAGAUUCCUUUGUUUGCUUUGUACAUAGGAGUGAUGGCUGAUGGUGGGCAUGGUGGUGGGAAUCACCCAUUGCGUUGGACAUCUCCAAUGUCUGGUUUCAUGUUACGUCGAUUUGUAGAGCUCAUUGCUAGUGGAGUGAAGACUGACAAAGGCUUUAAGGAGGUGCACAUAAACCAGGUGGCUAAGAAUUGUAGUGACCACUUUGGUCUUGCAAUAACCGGGACCCAAGUCUACAACCACCUCCGCAAGUGGCGUGCUAGGUGGGUGAAGAUUAGUAAGCUCCGAGACAUUAGUGGGUCACUUUGGGAUGAUACUAACUGUGUCAUAUCACUGGAGGAAGAGCACUAUCUGGGCCAUAUCAAGGUUUGUACUUUGAACUGACCUAUAAUUAUUUCCUUUCACAUGCUUCCUAUUUGUCAGUAUAUAACCUUCCCAUAACCACACUACAUAUAGGACCAUCCCAAAGAUGUUGAGUACCUCAAUGUACCUUUAGAGAACUAUGUUCAAAUGCUUGCUAUCUUUGGGACUGGUAUUGCUACAGGGAGGUAUGCAAUGGCAUCUAAUGAGGCUCUUGGGGCUGCUUCAAUGGUGGGAACCUCCCCAUCGGAUGUCAACAUUGAAGGUUCUGGUUUUGAAUUUGUUGUUGAUGGGAAUGAACCUGACUCGAGUGCUACUGCUGCUGCUCAUGGGGAAGCUGCUGUUGCUCAUUCCACUGGUAAAAGGAAGAGGGCUAGCCUCAUGAGCGAAGAAGAAGUUUUGGUCAUGACCAACAUGUCUGAAGCAGUCCGUGAAGUUGCUAAUGCUAUCAAGUCCACUACAGAGGCACAUCCUGAACUUUAUGAUGCUGUGAUGGAGCUCCCUGGUUUUAGUGAGGAUGAUCUAUUGAUUAUCUUGGAUUAUCUCAAUGAGAGUGCCAACAGGGCUAGGAGCCACUCAUUCGUGCAGAUGACGGAGACUCGCCGCACUCGUUGGGUCAUUCACCACCUUUCCAAGCUCAAGGAUGAUGUGCCAAAGGGUGGAG
RNAcentral lists this long non-coding RNA (55583 nucleotides) under Hordeum vulgare. RNAcentral's name for it is "long non-coding RNA (HVUL_LNC001249)". Lineage: Eukaryota; Viridiplantae; Streptophyta; Magnoliopsida; Poales; Poaceae. The record is from RNAcentral.